Molecule: non-coding RNA, 46828 nt
Organism: Pelobates cultripes (western spadefoot toad)
Lineage: Eukaryota; Metazoa; Chordata; Amphibia; Anura; Pelobatidae
Source: the annotation of a GenBank genome assembly
GGACGGUUAAGAAGUAUGAAGUAAUUUGAGGUUUGUGCGAAUGCAUUGCAUUAAAUAACGUGUGGUGUGUGAAUGGUAUCACAGAGCUCUACAGCAACAAAACAUCUUUACGUUCAUUUAGACAGACUUGGCUGUGUGUUUUACUUCACUCAAGCUCUGAGAUACAUUCAUACACACUGCAUAUUAAAUGAUUUUAUUCCUUAUAAAUGACAUGAAUAUCUGCAAGCACUACAUGUGUUGUUAUAAUUCUGAUAUAUCGCCUACUUGUGAAAUUUGUCUGAGAAACCCCUCCUACUGCCACCAUUAAUGAAUAUUCAAGUAGAAAUAGGAUUUAUAAUAGACUCACAAGUUGUGAGCAUUGACACAGACUACUGCAUCAGCAAUAUUCUAGUCAUUCACCACUAUAUGUUAGCAGCUGGUCACAGAAUUCUGUCAAUUAGCAAUUAAAGCUGAAGUCUUAAAGGAACGCUAUAGUGUUAAGAAUCCAAAUGUAGGAAAGUAAACAGAAGUCUAGUGUGCAUGUGCGGCAUUACACCACACUGUUGCAAUCGAAUGGUCUCUAAGAUUUUACUCGGCUAUUUCGGAAGACCCACUGCUAGUGGUUGAGUGACAGCCACUAGAAGCAUUUAUUCAGGGCCGCCAUCAGGGCAUGACGGCUGUCAUGGGCCCUGGAGGGCCGGACUGCUCUGGGAGUUUGGAUAUAUAUAUAUAUGUGUGUGUGUGUGUACUGGCUACCUGUUCAUUGCAGAGGGGGCCCGCAGCACACUCUCACUUCCCAGCAGCUCCUCUCUCUAAAUCUUGCGAGUCCCGCGUCCGUUAGAGUGUUGCCACGGGUUACCUUGGCAAUGCUCUGCACGGCACACAGGCCGCGAGAGUUAGAUAGGGGAGCUGCUGGGAAGGGAAGUCAGUGUGUGCUGCAGGCCCCCUCUGCAGAGAACAGCGGCUGGCUCAGAGCACCAAGCCACCGGACCACCAGGGAAUGCGAUCACCCCACGGUUAAGGUUAGAUGCAGGAGGGAGGAGGGAUUAAAUAAAAUGUAAAAAAAAAAUAUAUUUUUUAAAUGUUACAAAAAAAGGCCCCUCAUCCCAUUUUAGACACAUUACAUACCUACACAAAUACACACUGCAUUCACUAUACACACACUACACAAACACACACACUGCAUUCACUAUACACACUACACAAACACACUGCAUGCACUAUACACACUACACAAACACACACACUGCAUUCACUAUACACACGCUACACAAACUCAUACUGCAUUCACUAUACACACACUACACAAACACACACACUGCAUUCACUAUACACACACUACACAAACACACACCGCAUGCACUAUACACACUACACAAACACACACACUGCAUCCAUUAUACACACACACUACAUGCACUAGACAAACACACACUCCACAUUCACAAUACACGCACACACUACAUCCACUACACAAACAAACACACACACUCUGCAUUCACUAUACACACACUAUAUCCACUACACAAACACACACUCUGCAUUCACUACACAAACAAACACUCUGCAUUCACUACAUACACUACACAAACACACACUCUGCAUUCACUAUAUACACCACAUCUAAUGCACACAAACACUACAUCCACUACACAAACACACACACACACACUCUGCAUUCACUUUACACACCCACUACACAAACACGCACUACAUCCAUUAUACACACAUACUACAUGCACUACACAAACACACUCCACAUUCACAAUGCACACAAACACUACAUCCACUACAUAAACAAACACACACACACACUCUGCAUUUAAUAUACACCUGUACAAUCUGCAUCCAGGGCUGGUGCAAGGAUUCUUGCUACCUUAGGCAAAAAAAAAUUGCCACCCCCCCAUAUGUCCUGUCCACCAUGUGACAUCACAAUGACCCGCCCAUAUGCUCUGCCAUAUGGGCCAACGCCAGUUCUGCACAAAGUGUCUUUUAUCUGAAAAGGCAGCAUGUUUACAUUAAAAAGCCUGCAGGCACAGGCUGUAGACACCAGAACCACUACAUUAAGGUAAAUUAGAUAUUAGUGCCACUAAUAAUAUAUUGGAUUGCCUACUUACCACCAGAUGAUGACAAGAGGCUGAUGAUGGGCUCAGUCUGUAGUCUGGCUCCACAGGUCUGGUGUAGAAGAGGCUCUCUGGAGACUGCUUGUAAAAGUGCUCACAACAAUUAACUAACAUGAAGCAGCUCCUUUUUUUUGGGCCCCUUACACAGCUUAAGGUCUGGGCCCCCAGGGCCUGACCAUGAGUAUGCCUACAAGGCCCACCCAUAAAUCCACUUAUAUGGCCCACCCAUGAGUUCUCUCACAGGGAAUGGAGUGUAUGUGUCUAGGGGAUGUGUUAUUUGGUAUUGUAGAGGAUGUAAUGUGUGUGUGUUCUUAUGAAAUGUAGUGUUUAGGGAUACCAAUUUGGGAUGCAGUGUGUGUUUGUGUGUAAGGAAUGCAUUGUAUGUUUCUGUGUGUGUGUGUGUAAGGUAUUCAAGGUGUGUUUCUGUGUAUGUAAUUUAAUGCAGUGUGUGCCUGUAAGGGUGCAUUUUGUUUCUGUGUGUGUGUGUGUAAGAGAAUCAGUGUGUGUGUGUGUGCCCGUAAGUGAUGCACUGUGUGAUUAGGUGUGCCUGUGUGUGAGUUGGAAUGCAUUGUAUAUGUGUGUACUGUAAAAGAGAGGGUUUGUGGGGUAGGAUAGGGACUGAGAGGGGAGCAGCUCUUUAUUUUUUUAUAGUGCUCUCCCCUCCUGUCAAUUAGUGAUCUCCCCUUCCCUCAUGUCCUUCAGUGUUCUCCCCUCCUGUCCCUUAGUGCUCUCUCCUCCCCUCCUGUCCCUUAGUGCUCUCCCUUGGCCCCCUGUCCCUCUGCACAGUUCACCCUUGGUGGUCUUCUCACUCCCCUCUCUUCCCCCCACUUAGUGGUCCUCCCUCUCCCCCCCUUAGUGGUCCUUCCCCUCCUCCCCCCUUAGUGGUCCUUACCCUCUCCCCUCAGUGGUCCUAGCCUCUUCCCCACCCCUUAGUGGUCCUCCCCCUCCUCCUCUACCCCUUAGUGGUCCUCCCCCACCCCUUGGUGGUUAGUGGUUACUCUUCCCCUCAGUGGUCCUACCCUCUUCCCCCAGUGGUGAUAGUGCCUUUCCCCCCCCUGCCCCACACCCUUAGUGGUCCUUUCCUCUGCCCACCCCCUUAGUGGUCCUUUCCCUCCUCCCUCACCCCCAAUGGUCCUUUCCCCUUAUCCACCCACCCCUUAGUGGUCCUUUCCCCUCCUCCCUACCCCAAUGGUCCUUUUUCCCCUUAUCCACCCACCCCCUUAGUGGUCCUUUUUCCUCCUCCCCUACCCCUUAGGGGUUCUUUCCCUCCUCCUCUACCCCUUAGUGGUCUCCCCUCUUCCCCUUAGUGGUCCUCCCCACCCCCUUAGUGGUUCUUACCUCUUCCCCUCAGUGGUCCUUUCCCCUGCUCCCACACCCUUAGUGGUCCUUUUCCUCUCUGCCCCACCUUUAGUGGUCCUUUUUCCCUCCUCCUCCUCCCUAAUGGUUUUCUCCCUCCUCCACCCCCUCUUAGUGGUCCUUUCCUCCCCUCUCCCCUUAGUGGUCCUUUCCCCCUCUUCCCUCCCUCAGUGGUCCUUUCCCCCUCUUCCCUCCCUCAGUGGUCCUUACCCCCCCUUUGGUGAACCUUCCCCUCUUCCCACCCUUGGUGGUCCUCCCUAACUUUUGUGCCUCCUAACUACGUAGCAUGGCCGGGCGGCACGAACCGCAGUACAGGAACUUCUGUUUCCUGUACAGGAACUUCUGUUUCCUGUACCAGGCCGCUGGCAGACUGAAGGGAAGCGCUCACUGAGUGAGCACUUCCUCUCAGUCCGCCGGCGGCCGGGUACAGGGAGCAGAAGCUCCUGUACCGUGGUCUGCACCGCCCGGCCACGCUACAUUAAGUGACCGGUAGGAGGGAGCGGUGUGCACUUCCCUCCUGCCGGUCACUCGAUUCUGGCGCCCCCACCCGGGCCGGUGCGCCCUAGGAAAGCCUAAGUCGCCUAUAGGAUGCGCCGGCCCUGAGUAUUAGAGAAGUAGAUUGGUAGAAUAGUAUUAACUAAAGACUUAGUGUGUUUUUUUUUCUUUUCUUUAAAUGACAGUAGUUGCAGGAUAGGAAUCAGUUGGGAGCUAUUAACAGUUUAAUUAAUACGCUUUUGUAAACCCUGCGUUUAAAUAUUUCCAUUGCAGGGUUAAACAGACAGGAACUUGGCACCAAGACCACUUCAAGCGUCAUAGUUAAAGGAACAAUGUAGAAUUUCAUCUAAUUUGGUUAUUGGGAUUUAAAGCCCCUGGCACUGUCUCUCCAAUUUCAAACAGUUUAACAUUAAAUAAGGAUCCACAGCCAUGCUCCCACUGGAGGUAUGGUUAAAGCAGAGAUUGCAAACUUUCUUCUAGCCAUACCAAUAUAAACUGUUUAGGGACUCUUGUUUAGCAUGAAAAAUGGUUCAGGGCUGAAUGGAAGGAGGCUGCAAGGGGACUCCAGACACCAUCACUGCUUUAAUGAUAUAAAACAGUUAUAGCACCUACAGUGUCCCUUUAACUAUCUGGCUUAUUUGUACUAAGCCCGGGGUGUCUCCAUGGCACUGUAAGCCCAGUGGUUAACAACCCAGUCCACAAGUGACACUAAAAGUUCAAGAUAUAGGUAUUUCUGAUUAUGGUAUGUUCUCAUGGGAAUAUUGGCAAAUCUGGUGUGCCUUGAGGCCUGGGCUGCGAACCACUGAUCAAGCUGUUGGAAUUGGACUAAAACAAAUUGCUUGCCUGUUAUUGGCUACAGCUGUAUGAGUGCAUUUUGGACCCCUAAGAACAGUUUUUCAGUGGAAACAGUUUAACUACUUACAGUAAGAGGGCACCUGGGCACUCCUAGUUCCAUAACCAGUACAGCAAGCUACAGUGGCUAUGGUGCUUAGAAUGUUCAUUUUAUAUUAUGUUAGGACAAGCACUGUGACCUGUUAUCAGUUUGAACCUGAAGAACACCAACCACUAAAAGUACAUAUGGAAGCAAACCUACUAAACAGUGUGCCCUCUAAAACGCCAAACAAAAACAGUGAAACAUACAGAUAAAUAGGAAUGCGCAAGGAUUGACAAAGAUACGUUUAAGCAUGUUCAUGGGCAGUUUUUUUCUUUCCACGAAUUGGGAUUUUGAUAAGAAAAUAUUUUGCAUACUAAUCUGUUACAUAUAGGUUUAAUAGCCCCUGUCUGACUUUGUAGCAAUUCAUAGAUACCUAAAUAAUUAGUAAUUUCAUAGCAAAUGUAAUUCAAUGUAACCGUCAUCAUUUGUACAUGUGUUAUUGCAAGCACAGAAGAUGCACUUUGAACUGUGAUUAACUUGGCAGAAAUGCAGAGUGUAUGCCACAUCCACAAUCUAAUCAAACAAAUAGUUUUGGAGCAGAAUAUUUUAUUCCCGUCACUUACAAAAAACAGAACGGUCACCUGCCUGUGUGAGACCUUGGGGUGAUUCCUCCCCCACCAAUGCCAUUUAACCUACUUAUCAUUUAUUGCUGGAAGAUUGACGUAUGCUUAUUUAUUAUAAAAGCCUGCAUCAAUGUAUUAAUUGCAGAUAAUUAAAUAUCUGAAGGGAGAAAAAAAAAAGUGGUAUCUUGUGCAGCCUAUUGAAUGCUGCAAACAAACUUUUUUUUUUUUUUUAAAUCAUGUCACGGCCACAGUAAUGAGAACCCCUGACAGAGGAUGCACCCCGCAGAGGUCAUGCCAGGAUUUUGGGCAUUCUACAGACUCAUCGAGGUAUUUAUUUUUUCUCCCUGUGAGAACUUGGUGGCGUGUAAUUUGAAUCAGCCAGACAGGGUAAGACUGUGCUUGUCUAUUUAACAAUGUCAUUUUCUAUGCUGCAGGUAGCGUUCUAGUCUCUGUCAACUACUAAGGGACUUCUUUGUCUUAUUGAUAAAGGUCAAGAUUAGCAAAAGUUGACAAAAGGCAGAGUUUCCAACGUCAACUUUUGUCAGUUCCCCUAGCGGCCAAUAAAGAUAGAAGUAGGAGAGGGCAUCAACUUGUAAAUCGUAUUAAACAUUAUUCAGGGGGACCUUACAGUUAUACUUUCACUAGUCUUGUGCAUUUGGUUUCAAAAAAUUUGGGGGCUUUCGGUGGUUGAUCCAAAUUCCAUAAUGCCGAAUCAUGAGACAAACGAAAUCUAUAUUUAGGUAUUAUUUUUCAAUUAUAUAAUAUAUGUAGAUUUUUUUUUUCUGCUUCUUCCUUUUCCCUGUGUUGUUUACUUAUUUUGGAUUGGAUUUGUGAACCAAAUGGUAGGAACAUUUAUUUACCUGUGUACUGCAGUUUAUAUACAUAAUAUUUAAAUUUUGCAGUACACUGGUCCAUUUUCAUGCCCUUUUUGGUUUGUUCAAAUAGUUUUUCUCAAAACGUAUGCAGGGACAAAAUUCAUCCGGAACCAAAUGUCACAUGGACAAAUUUUGGACCACCAGAUCUGCAUUAUUUUUUGCUGGACAAAUCGAUUCGGCUGAACCCAUUUUUCUUUCCUUUCAUGUACAUGCCUAACUCUCUCUCAUGAAAGAGACUGCAGCAUCGAUGAAGCUUCUGACAGAGGAAACAGCAGAAGCAGUCACUGGAAUUUGUACGAACUGCCAGAACCCACCUUCUGUCUAGCACAGACUUUUCUGCCUGCUAUCAUUGUGUUGAAUUUUGCCUGUUUUAGCUUUACAACCGUAGUAGCUGCUUUAAAAUUAUCGCCACCUGGUGGGCAAACAUGAGAAUUUGAUGAAAUGAAAUUUCAGGACCCUUGUUAAUUCAGGAUUAUUCAAACUUUUAGUGACCGAACAAUCUAAAUUUUAUUAAAGACAGGAGGUGAAUGUUUGCUUAUCUUUCUUUACUGUAACUCCCAGCAGCAAAGAAACAGUUAACAAUCAGUGUAAAAAAAGUUAUAUAAACUGCCAUCAGGCUCCUCCCAAUUCCUCUUUCUUGAUGUAGCCGAACAGUCGUAGAGUCAACCAUGUAAACGUAGAACCAUUAGAACGAUGAGUAGGUAACGGUGUAAGUAUCCGAUAGGAUGAAACAGUGCUCAACCCACGGGGGAGACUUGAAACAGAGAUGACGAGCGAUCUUCACACUAGGAGGAAAGAGAAACAUCGUGAGAAAAUCUAAUUAAAUGCCAUGAAACUAACGUCCAAUUUAAGUGCAAGCUUUAACAUAAUAUGUCUUGGGUAAGUGAGAACCAAAUUAAAAAUGCAAUGAAACUAACGUUCAAUUUGAAUGCAAACUUUAACAUAAUAAUUAACUGACGAGUAUAUGCCAGAAAAAAAGACAAGUCAAAAGGAUGCUCGCCACCUAGAUAAAGAUGGAGGUACUAAGAGAUACUUACCUAAUAGGGUGGGUACAGGUAUUCCAGGGUGGGAAAAUAUUAGCCUCCUGUCUUUAAUAAAAUUUAGAUUAUUAAGUCACUAAAAGUUAGCAUAAUCCUGAAUUUUAUGGCAAGACAGGAGGCUUCAUAUUUGCUAUUUUAACUCAUAGAUAGCAUGGACAAAGAAACGUGUGGAAAAUGUCUAAAAUAAAAGUUACGGAAAGUGGAUUCGAUAGACCAAUCGGCGGAGGACAAAAUCUCCGCCAGGGAACCUCUAGCCAUGAACACAGAGGAGGCGGCCGCGCCUCUAACCAAGUGAGCCCCGAAAGAUGCAUCAAUGCCAGCCAGAGUUAGUAGCCAUUUAAUCCACUGAGCAAUAGUAGGGCUCAAGACUGGUUUGUGUGGUCGCACAUAAGACACAAGGAGGGGCCCAGUAAGUGGUCUAAAAGGGGUAGUGCGAGAGAUAUAGUGUCUUACACAACGGGCUACGCAGAGAAGUGGUUUCUCCAUAAAGUAGGGGUAGCUCACUGUAGAUGAAUUGGUCUUGGUGUGUCUAGUGAUGUGAAAGUGCACCCCUUCCGGUGUGAAAUCGAGGGCAUGAAAGUCGAAAGCUCUGAUGUUGGAGACUCUUCGGAAGGAGACCAAGGUAAGGAGGAGAGCUAAUUUGGCUGACAAUUGGCAUAGGGAGAGCACCUCGUUGUCUAGGCAAGCUUCUAAGAAUGUGAGCAUGAGAGCCAUGUCCCAGAAUUGAUUAUAUUUGGGAGCCGGAGGUCUAGCGAUGCGGAUGCCCCGCAAGAGUCUACACACAGAAGGGUGUUUGCCUACUGAAGAACUUUCAAUAGGAACGUGCGCUGCAGAAAUAGCAGAUCGAAACACGUUAAUAGUCCGGUAGGAUUUACCCUGAUCGAACAGAGACGACAGGAAAUUGAUAAUAUUAAUUAUAGAUGUUGAAAAGGGAUCAAAGUUCCUUUCCAAACACCAGCAACUCCAAUGACGCCAUGCGAAGAUGUAAGAGCGUCUGGUUCCUGGGGCCCAUGAAUCCCAAAGGAGUCCAUGAGCAGUAGCCGAAAGGCCUGAGACAUUCCAUGAUCCCCUGAAAUGGUCCAAGCCACUAGUCGGAUCCUGGAUUGCCAACAGGUGAAAGUUGCCUGCCGGGUCCCUGAGGAGGUUGCAGGAGGGGUGGGUAGAAGCAGGGGAAAAUCCACUGACAUUUCCAGGAGGUAAGGGUACUAUGGUUGGGCCCGCCAUAGGGGCGUUACCAGAGUUAUCUUGACACCUUGAGUUUUGAGGUACUGUAGUGUGCGUGGGAUCAUGGAGAAUGGAGGGAACGCAUAUGCUCCGGACAUCGCCGCAUCUAUAAGAAGGCAUCGAAUGCAAGGCACACUGGGUCUGGCAACCAGCUGAUGCGAGAUGCAAAUAGGUCCAGGUUGAAUGGUCCCCACCAGACCUGGAGACGGUGAAGUAUUUGUGGAUCCAGUUGCCAUUCGCUGGAAUCUCUCCAAUGUCGGGAGAACCAGUCUGCAACGAGGUUGUCUGAUCCCAGUAGAUAUUCUGCUUCCAGGGAGAUAUUCCUGUCUAGGCAGAACUGAUACAAUUCCUUGGUCAGGUCCAAAAGCAUCUUUUGAUUUGGAACCUCCUAGAUGAUUCACGUAGUGAACCGCUGAGACAUUGUCCAUCUUCAGCACCACGGAACAAUUGUAGACAUCCUUGGCGAAACUUUGGAUUGUGAAGGAGCCCUCAAUUAGUUAGAGGCAAUUGAUAUGAAGUGCUAAUUCCAAAUGGGACCAGAUCCCUCCUGUAGAGCUUUCCGAGCAAGUUGCGCCCCAUCCGAGCAUGCUUGCAUCCGAUUCCAGGAUGAAAUCGGGUUGGGAUCCGAAGAUGGCUCUCCCAUUCCAAGCGUCCAUAUGUUGUAGCCACCAAUGGAGUUCUAGCCGGAGUUCGUCUGUGAGUGUGAUCUGUUGAUCAUAGGAUGUCGACUGAUGUAAAUAUUGCGUCUUCAGACGUUGCAAUGCUCGGUAGUGCAAUGGGGCAGGGAAUAUUGCCUGUAUUGAAGCGGAGAGCAAACCAAUGAUGCGAGCUAGAUCUCGCAGGCAGAGGUAUGGUGAUAUCCUUUUUUUAUGGAUUUGAUUUUGGUUGCAGGAAGUUGUAGGACUGCCUGAACAGAAUCUAUCUAGAAUCCCAGGAAUUGUACCGUCUGAGACAGAGGGAGAGAUGAUUUCUGGUGAUUGAUCACAAAGCCAAGGUUCUGCAACAAAGUGGAGGUCAUGGCUGUCUGAAGGUGAAGAGUCUUUUGGUUCUGCGCCAUGAGGAGAAUAUCAUCCAGAUAAACGAUGGACCAGAUUCCCUGGGAACGCAGUAAUGCCAUUACUGGUUUCAUUAGUUUGGUAAAUCACCAGGGUGCGGAAGAUAGGCCGAAGGGGAGGCAGGUGAAUUGCCAUAGUUCCUGUUCCCAACGAAACUGAAGGAGGCAGCAGUGGGCUGGUGUUACUGGCACCGUGAGGUAUGCAUCCUUUAGAUCGAAGCGGGAGAACCAAUCUCCCUCGCAGAGUAGGUCUCUCAAUAAAUGGAUUCCCUCCAUUUUGAAGUGACGGUAUGUGAUGAACCUGUUCAGAUCUCUCAGAUUGAUAACAGGUCGUAGGUCUUCUGAUUUUUUCUUGACUAGACACAUGUUGCUUAUGUGGGCCAACAACUCUUUCGAUCGCACCUUUGGCGAAUAGAUUGUUGAGCUCGCUCCCUAGAGUCGACUCGUCUAACAAUGACAUCUUGAUCGGGAUAGGAGGAGAUAUUUGUAUCGGUUCAUCAGUCUGAAGGAUCCAAGGAUCCUGAGUGAGUUGAGACCACGGUUGGGAAAAAAAGGUUAACCGGCCUGCAAUAGGAAUAUGAGAAUAAGUAAGGUCCAUUACCUGUAGCAGUGCGACCGCAGAGGGAAGCAGAUCCACGUCCUCGGAGAGCUCAGCGAGAGGGGAAAAACUGCCAGUGGUGGAAUAUGGGUACUGCCCGAGUUCCAAGGGUCUGUGGAUCGAGGCCUGUAGCCUGUGAAGGCAGCUCUGCCAGUUGCUUGGCCUCUGUAGUGACCAGCCCUCCCGGAAAAACGUUGUGUGCGAAACACCUUGGGGAUGGAGGAUUGUGCUUUAGUUAGUGUAGUAAAUACAGAGGCGUGUUUACUUCGCUCUUUAAUGAACUUGUCUCCGAAUAACAUGCCUUGAGCCUCUGGACCAAGUUCUUUAAUGCCCAAUUCGGCAAGCUUGGCAUCGAUUUUGUAAAGGACGGCCUUUCGCCAUUCUGUCAAGAUUGCCACGUUGGCAUUGCCUAAAAGGCAUAAAGCCCCCCUUGUGCCCACUCUCGCACCAUAGGUGCGUCAAAAGUGCCACGUGAAAGAGCCUCAUCUGCUAUAAUAAAGAUUUGUAUAAGCGGGCCCGCCACAUCCAUCAGUUUAUCUUGAGUGGCUUUCAGACCCUGUUUUAGACCCUUACGGGGGUCUUUCCCUGACUUGGUCAGAAAGGUAACAAGGAAGGGGUCGAAUUCAGGUGUAAUGGCCACCUUGUCCAGGAUGAUGGGACGUGGGCAUUCUGCCCUUAAUUUGGCUCUCAUCUUUUUUUCUAGAGGCCGACGGAGCCACAUUCUACAGUAUUUGGCAAUGUGGUCCGGGGGUGUCCAUUCGGCAGAUCUAGGGUGCCUGAUGCAUCUAGGGUCAAAUAAAGGGCGGCCAGAGGUGUCAAAUAAGGUGUCAUCUUUUAAGUUAGGGUCAGAUGUUAGGUCAGAUUCCAAAUGGAAUUCCUCUUGAUUUGGUAUGAGGGAGGGCUCAUUAGUGAAAUCAGAAGGGUAAAGGUCUCGGGAUGUCUUAUGAGGUGGAGUAUCAUUAUCCGAAUGUUCUGCAUAGUAUUCAUCUACCACCUGAAGAUUAUAAUUAGAGGUUGAACCCUCAAGUGGGUCAAAAUCAUGUUGGGAGACAACCUCCCUGGGUUUAGUAGGGGAACUCUAGGGUGUUUGGCAGGCGCUUUGCCUUUACUGGCGGUAGCGAUAUCGCCCUUCCAAGGGCGCUUGCGAGGAACUCAUCCUGGUCUGAACCAUGAGACUCCUCGGAGUCUGACAGCUGGGUAAUAGUCGCCGUAGGGGCUGGAACUGUGUGCUCGCGGAAAGCCGCUAAAGCUUUGGGUAUAGAGUCGGCAAUUGCAUUGAAUAUCCAUGCCUUAAGUUCAGCAGAGACUGCUGGAUCUGGUAAAUCUGACAUAAUGUCAAAAACAGUGGGGUCCCCACUAAAAUAUUUAUUUAUUUAUUUUAUAUAUAUAUAUAUAUAUAUAUAUAUAUAUAUAUAUACAGCGCUACGGAAUUUGUUGGCGCUAUAUAAAUAAUAAAAUAAUAAUAAUAAUAAUAAUAUAUAUAUAUAUAUAUAUAUAUAUAUAUAGAUAUAUAUAUAUAUUUUUUUUUUUUUUAAAUAUGCAGACAACUAUUUACAAAGAAGCAGUGGACUUUAAACAGGAUUAACCUGUUAGACAAGUUGGGUUCAUCCACAGUAUAUCAGUGGGGUUCACCCAGAGAAAAAAAGGACAAUAUAACGUCCAACAUUAAUAACAGGUAUGUACCUGUGUAAUCAUAUAGGGGGUUACCAUGUAUAGAUGCAAAAAGGGGGUCACCCUCAGAAUAUAGGCUCGAGGGGGUCACCCUAAAAGUAAUGCAAGGGUUUAAGGCACUUUGUUUUUGUGUUUUGGGCAUCUGUAACAGAAAAAUUAAUAUUUCGAGUUGUGGGUUUGUAUACCUUUAAAUAAAUAAAGAACAGCCUGGGGCUUUAAGAAGAAAAACAUUUACUCACCUAACGGCUGGAUCGCAACCACAGAUCAAGAGGUGAAAGCAAACGAAACCGCCGCACAGAGACCGUCCACAAGAUGGCGCCCGAGCAAAAUGCCCAGGAAAAAAGCAAGAGAGAUGGCCGUAGCACAGAGGAAAGGGCGGGAUGCGUCUCUAUGGAGACGCUCAGGGGGAAACAAGUGAGCACAGUAACAGAGUGGCUGAACGGACCGGCAAAAUGCCGGGAGCCGUGGCGAAACUGUCAGUGAUCUAAUUAAACUGACAGAGCACAAUCUAAGAAAGCUGUUACUAUAGGAAGUAAUAUAAAGUUGUGGGCUGACUGAAAUGUACUAAAACGGAAAACACUUCACAUUUUUAAUAAAUAUCGAAUAAAUAAUAAUAAAUUAAAUGAUUAUUGACAGCUGAAAGAGCAAGAUAUUAAAAAGAUAAUAGUCAACUAAAAUUGAGCAUUAAUAGGGAUAUCAUUAGAAUAGACUCACCUGGGAGGUUAAGCAGCAAAGAAAGAGGAGUUGGGAGGAGUCUGAUGACAGUUUAUAUUACUGUGAUGCAUGCUGAUUGGUUAAACUUUUUUACACUGAUUGUUAACUAUUUCUUUGCUGCUGGGAGUUACAGUAAAGAAAGAUAAACAAAUAUGAAGCCUCCUGUCUUGCCAUAAAAUUAUUUAUUGGUCUCACUUGUAAGAGCCGUCUAUAUACACUUGUAUUCAUACAUCCAAUUGUCCUUUUGUGCUUUUACAUUGCUUGGACCAGGGAUCAUAAACUCGCCCUUCAUCCCAUGUUGAUGGCCUACAACUUCCAUAAUUCUUUGAACGCAGUAGGUGCCUAGAGAAUCAUUUUAGUGCAUUUUAUGCAUGCAUUCCCUCAGAGGUUUAUUCACUAACCUCUGAAUUGCAGUGAAGAGACAUUUAGGGAAAGAGACACACUGAGUAGACAUUAAAGGGAAAUUAUACUGCCAGGAAAACAAAAAAUUUUCCUGGCACUGUAGCUUCCCCCUCCGUCAAGUGCACCUUACCCCUCGCGGUGCAGAAGGGGUUAACAAAAACUGACACUUACCUGGGUCCAGCGAUGAUGUCCCUUGGUACUGGCUCAGGUCCGCCGUCGCUCCUCAAUGGCCACACUCGCAUUAGGAUUUCCCCAUAGCAAAGCAUUAUACGCUGGAUGACCCCAUAAAUAGCCACUAGAGGUGGAGUUAACUCUGAACGGUAUUUAUUGCUGUUUGUUAAAAACUGCAAUAAUUACCUUUGCAGUGUAAGGACACUGGGAUAGUGCAUCCAGGUCACUUCAAGUGGUCUUGGUGCCUAUUAUGUCCCUUUAAGUGAAAGCAGAUGCACAGUGAGAAAGAACGGAAGCAGUCUGGGGAGACAUUUAGGGAAAAGAUAUAGAGACUGUUGAGAUAUUUAGGAAACAUUUUAGGAGAGAGACAUAGUAAGCACACAUUUAGGGAAAGAAAGAGACAAUCUCUCACUAACACACACUCACUGACAUACACAUUGUCAGUUACACAUUCUCACUAACCUAUACACACUCUCACCAACAUACACAUUGUCAGUUACACUCUCACUAACACACACACACACACACCGAGAGACACUUAGUGUCACUUGCACACUCUCGCUCAGGGUUGUAUUUACCACAAGGCAAACAAGGCAUUUGCCUAGGGCGGCAGUUCGAGGGGGGUGAAGGGUAGGUGCAAAAAAAUGCCACCCCAAGCUCCCAGACAAAUGUCUUGUUUGCCUCGUGUUCUGGGGCUGUCCAUCUUACUGUGAGUGAGUGAUUGAGUGAGUGUAGCUGUCAGUGUGUGUCUGUGAGUGAGUGAAUGUGUGUGUGUGUCUUUCAGUGAGAAUGGGUGGUUCAGUGUGUGUAUGUCAUUUUAUGUGUAUCUGAGAAUGUGUGCCUGUCAGUGAGUGGGUGUGUCAGUGUGUGUCUGUCAGUGAACGUGUAUGUUGGUUAAACAGUGUGUGUCAAUGACUGGAUGUGUGUGCCAAUGACUGUGUAUCUGUCAGUGAGUGUAUAUCAGUGCAUGUAUCAAUGAGAGACUGUGUCUGUCUGUCAAAAAAGUGGCCUUGACACGAAUUGGGGGGGGCAAAUUUAGAUUUUAGGGGUGCCCAAAUUUUGUCGUGCCUAGGGCAGCACAAAUCCAAAAUAACCCAGAGUUACUUACACACUAUCACUAACACACACACCCUCACGAACACUCACUGUCACUUGCACACUCUCAUUAACACACACACACACACACACAGUCCCUUACACAUUCUCACUAACAUAGUGUCACUUGAACACUCUCACUAACACACACACAGUGUCACUUACACACUUUGACUUACACACACAGUAACUCAAACACAAACUCACAUCAUUGUACAUAAAGUCACACAUUAACACACACAAAUACAGCACACACGCAGGAAUUUACAACCAUGCACACAACAGACCACCCCACUUAGCCUGCCAUACCUGGGUGCUGUGAAGAGGAGAAGAAGUCCAGCCUCCAGGUAGCUGCUCUGUUACUGGUAGGGGGAAGCAGGAGAGCCAUGCACUGUGAGCACAGGCUGCUUCCUGUUCCUCUCAGAGUGCUUCCGGUGUUCACAGACGGGGGCAGCCGGAAAACCAGGUCGUAUCCCAGCUUCUCCUGCCUGCAGGAAGCAGUGUGCUCUGCUCGGUUCCUCUCCCUGAGCAGGCAAGCAGCAGAGAGCAGCCCAGCAGGUGAAUGGCUGCGCUGGGGGGUGGCUAAGGAGCCGCACACCCAGCACAGCAUCCCCAGGUAGCAGCAGGGCAACCAACCAGGAAACUUCCUAGUAUAUUUAAUGUACUGUCACUGAACGAUCAUAUGACUUGUUAGUAACUUACAACACUGCACGCAGGUAAGUAAAUACAUUUUAUAUACUUUCUUGUGGACUUGCCAAAAUCUCCUACCUAGGACAUUGUCUACAAGUCAAACGGCAGUACAUCAGAAUUAAAUGCAAAGGACCUGCCCCUCUGCUAGGUGAUGUUUUUAUUAAUUAGACAUUAAACUAGACAAGCUACGUCUUGUACUCUAAAGUUUGCAGGAGCUGUAUUGACAGUAUUUGCUUUUUAUUGUUGUGCUAGCAUAUUGAUAAGACUUGGCUGUUUUGGUCUGAUAAGGUUUUGCUGGGGAAACCGUCUUUUUGUAAAUAUCUGAAUGAGGGGCAAUAUUACAGAAUUUGGUUGAGUUCCACAACUUAUUGCUGGCAUAGUCCCCCAUUGUGAUGAUGUACUUGUUGCCCUUACAGCUUCUCUAUAAAGACAGAUCCACUAUAUCCCUGACCUCCUGCUAAAAGAGUUUGCUGACUGCGGGGUGAUACUGGAAUGGUGCCAGAAGAUGACCUCUGAGCUCUCAAUGUCCAGGCAGGAGUUAAAAGAGAUGCUAACUAUGGGAACUUAUUGUGACAUCCCAUGCCAAAAGGUCAGUAGCAAUCAUUACUUGUCAAUUUUUCCCCAAGAUCACCACUGGGGGAAGCUCAUUAACAAUCUGGUGAAUGUAUGUGUGUUACACUUUUUCCUCCAAGUGUGUCAGGAUAUUCCAGAUCUCCAGACACAAAAGUGCAGAAUCAUUCCUCCAGACGUAACCAAACAGAUCAGCAAAUUCUAAUUUCCCAUGAAUAGCACAGGCUGUAUAUUUUGCAUUCGUCUGUACCAACAUGCCAAAGAGCCUCAUGAUUGGACUCCAUGUCCACUUUGUGCCAUUAUUGUCCCAUUAUUGGAAAACUUGGUUGGUAAGGAUUUGGAACUUCAAGUCUAUGGCUACUUUGUUUUUAACUUGCCAAGGGAAUGUAGUACAAUUUGAACAAAUAUUAUUCUCCACAUACUUAUGACACGAAUCAAUAGAGCUUUCUUCUGGGGGUCCAGGAAGUAAGCAUGGUGAGGUAUUGGAGUGUGUCUGAGUGAUGUAUGCCACUAUGUACGUUUUUCAGAUGAAACAUUUGGAUGGCUUCUGGGGAAUAGUUGUAAGUAUAAAUUUAUGCUGAGCUCAUACAGCUUGGCUCUUUCCACUGCAAAAGUUAAUUACUUCAAUACCCUCAUAACCACACUCUCCCGCGAACCCAAACAACUAUUUCACAAAUUUAACUCUCUUCUUCUCCCUACUGUUCCUCCUCCACCUACUAACUUCACCGCCUCAGACUUUGCAACUCACUUCACUGACAAGAUCUCUAAAAUCAGAGAAGAGAUCUCUCAUCUUUCUUCUUCCCCUUACAAUACUUCCCCUAACUUCACUCCCUCUGCUGCUCUAUGUUCAUUCGCACCCGCUACAUUGGAACUCCCCAUCCAACUAUCGUCCUAUCUCGCUACUUCCUUUUGCAUCCAAGAUCCUUGAAAAAAUUGUGUAUGCGAGAUUGACAGACUUCCUCGAGUCCAACUCUCUGCUAGACCAGCUUCAGUCUGGUUUCCGCGCUAAGCACUCUGUGGAAACGGCACUGACCAAAGUAUCCAAUGAUCUACUCGCUGCAAAAUCUCGUGGUCACUACUCUAUCCUAAUUCUCCUUGACCUGCCUGCGGCUUUUGACACUGUUGAUCAUCAACAGCUUCUUCUCAUCCUCCACAAUAUCGGUCUACAAGAUAUUGCUCUCUCCUGGUGCUCCUUCUACCUCUCCCAGCGCUCUUUCAGUGUUUCUUUCUCUGGCUCUACUUCUUCUCCCCAACUCCUCUCUGUUGGUGUCCCCCAAGGUUCAGUCCUUGGUCCCCUACUGUUCUCCAUCUAUACUGCCUCCCUUGGUAAACUCAUUAGCUCCUUUGGCUUCCAAUAUCAUUUCUAUGCAGAUGACACGCAAAUCUACCUGUCCUCUCCUGAUCUCUCCCCGUCCCUCUUGACUAGUGUCUCUGACUGCCUCUCUGCUGUUUCUAACAGGAUGGCUGCCGACUUCCUUAAACUAAACCUGACCAAAACUGAAAUUCUGGUCUUUCCUCCCUCAAGUGUUGUUACUCCUGUGUCUGUCUCCCUCCAAGUCAACGGUGCUACCAUCAGCUCCACUAUGCAGGCUCGCUGCCUAGGUGUUCUCUUUGACUCCGACCUCUUCUUCAAGCCUCAUGUUCAAUCUAUUGCCAAAUCCUGUCAUUUCCAUCUCAACAACAUUGCGCGCAUCCGCCCCUACUUAACGCCAGAUGCGACUAAGGUGUUGGUCCAUUCCACUGUCCUUUCUCACCUUGACUACUGUAAUCCGCUUCUCAGUGGUCUUACGUGCUCCCAACUUGCGCCGUUACAGUCCAUAAUGAAUGCGGCGGCGAGGCUCAUCUUCCUGUCCGCCCGCACCUCCCAUGCCUCACCCUUCUGUCAGUCCCUACAUUGGCUUCCUAUAAAAUAUAGAGCUCAAUUUAAAAUUCUGGUUCUUGCUUUCAAAUCUCUACAUAAUGCUGCUCCCACCUAUCUAUCCUCCCUUAUACACAAGUAUGUCCCAUCUAGGCCCUUACGAUCUGCUGAAGACUUAUGUCUAUCUUCUGUCCGUACUCCCACCUCUGAUGCUCGCCUUCAAGAUUUCUCGAGGGCUGCACCGUUCCUGUGGAACUCGCUUCCCUCCUCCGUUAGAUGCUCACCCAGUCUCCACUCCUUCAAAAAAUCGUUAAAAACCCACUUCUUCAUAAAAGCGUAUCAAUUAAACUGUUAAUAGCUCCUGACUGAUUCCUCUUCUGCAACUGUCACUAGUCUAAUACUAUCCUUACCUUUUUGUGUCAUUUUACCCCACUCCCUCUAGAAUGUAAGCUCAUUGAGCAGGGCCCUCAAUCCCUCUGUUCCUGUGUGUCCAACUUGUCUGGUUACAACUACAUAUCUGUUCAUCCACCCAUUGUAAAGCGCUGCGGAAUUUGACGGCGCUCUAUAAAUAUCAUAAUAAUAAUAAUAAUAAUAAGUGUACAUUUGGGAGCUGGGAUUGGACUGUGAAGUCAGCUAUUGUCACAAUCUGGAAUAUAAAGAGAUUAUGUCAGCAUGGGAUUUAGUAUCUAUUAAGCAGUGGCAACUGUAUACAACCCUUAUAGCGUUAAAUGAAUAAAAAAAAUUAAAUUUUUCAUUAGGGCCUUGGUUUAAUAUGAUUGGAUAAGAUUUUCUAAUGCUGUAAUAUUUUUGGAUACAUUUUUAAAAAGAUUUAAUAAUAUGAAAAAUAUUUUAAAUUUGUAAUAUUUUAUAUACAUUGAUAUAUUUCUUUAUAUAUGAUGUAUUUUGUAAUAUUUUAAUAAAGUGAAAAAAUAAUUUCAAAAGUUUAUCCCAAAAUAUUAAAUCACAUGGAGAACUUAAACUUAGCAAAAUAUUGAAUUGAGGCUGAGUUCCUUAUAAACAGUUUUGCUGAGGAUCUAGACCAGGGGUAGGCAACCUUUGGUACUCCAGAUGUUGUGGACUACAUCUCCCAUAAUUCCCACAGUCAUAAUGCUGGCAAACCAUAAUACAGUAUAAAGAGGAUUAAAAAGGAAUAAAAACACUAACAAUGUAAUAAAGUACAACACGUAUAAAAUGGAACUGCCAGAAAUAUACUCACUAGUAGGUAGAUGGUUGUGUCGCCUUAGGGUGCCUCCCCUUGGAAUUCUGGGGGGCUAGUCCAUGUUUCCUCCUCUGGAGGGAGGGGGGGAGGAAUAGUCCAUGUCUCUGCCAGGGAAAUCUAGAUUCCAAUGGUCUUCCAGAAUAUGUAUGUAUUUAAUUUACAGAUAAAAAUAACAAAUAGUAAUGAAAACAUAAUUAAUAAAAGUGGGCGGUCCUACACAUUUUAUCCCAAAAUAGAACUUCUUCAGGGGGCCAAAAAGUGAAACUAGAACUCAGUGAUGAUGUAUGUGUUCCACAUAGUGGCCAUUUGCGUUCCAUCUUCGGUUAACAUUUUAUACUACAUCUCUCAUAAUGCUCUUACAGUCAUAAUGAUGGCACAGCAUCAAGGAAGAUGUAGUCCAUAAUAUCUGGAGUGCUGAAGGUUGACUAUGUCUGAUCAAGACGUUCGUUGGUUAAACUAUAUAUAAUUUUAGAUGCUCAAUUUUAAUGUUGCCUUGGCGUAUGGUACAGCAUUGAGAUUUGUGGACAUUUAUAUGUACAAAACUGUAUUUAAACACUCUACACACCAUUGUUCAAGAGUUAUGGUGAACAUUUUUGUGCCAACUCUUCUGUAGAAGCCAAGUAAAAGAACCAAAAGUGCCAAGGCCUAUUUUCUCAUUUUAAAUCUAUUUCUUUUGUUACUUUCCUUCACAUUUCCUCAUUUCCCCUACAAUUGUGUUUCUACUCCAUUGCACAGUUGACUAUCCAUAUGUGUUUCUUGCCCCCUUCAUUUAAAACUUUCAUCUCCCUUCUACAUCUGUUUCCAUUGACCACUUGAUAUCAUAAGACUUUUUUUCUCUGUCUGACUUCUUUUAUCUGUCUCCUACUUUCAUACCAGACACAAAAUUAAACUGUCAGGAUCCAAACCAUAAUUUUGGUAUUACAUUCCUUUCAUUUAAGUUUAUAUCUGCAGUAACUAUGUUUUGCCAUUAGUGGCCUUCCUAACCACUAUGUAUGAACUCUCAUCCUCACCUGCCUGGACUGAUUACUCAUGCUAUAAGAGGCCACACCUUGCUAAAGGAAACUGCCUUUACAUUGAUUGAGGUUGUGGUUCUGGACGUGACAUGACAUGACUUCUGUUCCUGUCUCAUAAUGAGAAACCUGCUCAUCUCCAAAUACCUUUGGAAAUCUUGAUUUAUUCAACCAACCUGCUAGUUUCCAGGCUGCUCUUUUCUAAGAAGCUUGGUAACAAAUCCUGAUUUCCAAUUCCAACCUGCUUUAUUUCAUAUUGGACUUUAUUAUCUUUUUACCUUGUUUGCAUACCAACUUUAUAACUACCGGAGUCAACUCAACCGACUUGCUUUAUUCAUACUGGACUUUGUUAUCUCUACUUUUGUUGCAAAACCCUUUUACUCCAACGGAAUUCAACACAACAUACCUGGAUAAUACUGACUAUUCUAUUUGCUACUAUCCUGAAUAACCCUGCUACAAUUAUCUGAUAUCUGCAUUACUGCCUCCAACCAAAAGACUCUGAAUGACUACAUGUCUAUUUAACUUGAAUUCAUUAUAUCUUCAUAUUUAUUUAUCUCACUUAUUAUAUUAUGUUUACCUAUUGUGCCGAAAGCAACUUUGCCACUGGUUUUUGGAGGGGCCUGCUUGCCCGCCUCCUAGCUUGUGACUAUGGGCCCUGUGAUAACCCAUGUUCAAAAGUACUGUUUCUGCCCCUUGGACUUUUAACUGGAACAGAUUCAAACAUGUGGCGGCGGCCAUCUUAAAUUGUCCAGCAGUGUUUUAUCGUUGAGUGUAUGGAACUGUUUUGGCCAUUGGACCAUGUGCACGGUGGGGCAAAAAUAAGACUUCCAGGAAAUUCCUGAACCAAUCUGGAUGAUUUUUAGAUAUGUUGUUCACCCAGAUCGGGGCUAUCAGAGGAUAUGGGGAUAUGGGGAUAUGUUGUAUUUUGGGGUACUUUUUGGGGUUUGUAAAAAUGUAUGUUUUCUUCUGCUUAGAGUUAAUUGAGUUAGUCCAUUGUCUUAAUUAAUUAUCACAGGCAGAGGGGAGGGAUUGUGUACACUGUAUGGGAGUGACUGAAGGUGAAAGUAUGUUUUUAUUGGCUUGUUGUUCCUGUGUCCCUGUGCCCCACAAGGUGUACCUGGGUGGUAACCUUGUGGGGAAAACGGUAUAAAAGACCAAGCUGUUCAAUAAACCCUCAGAUCUGCUGUUCCUGUUUGACCCUCAACACGUAGUCUUGUCUCGUGAUUGAAGGGCAACUGCUAUAAUCUGUAUACUCCCCUGGGUUCUAAUCACUUAGCUCUUUUAAGAGCUGUUCCUGAUAUGCUUUCCUGGAGGAGAGGUCUUCCCACCAUGGUCCUUGAUGUCGGAGGUUGGUCCAGGGUGGAAGGAAGACGGCGAGACUCCAGUUAAGCUAUGAUGGUUGUGGAGUCUGCAAAGGUUGUGGUGUCCGGUGCAGUGCUUAUAGUCCUCGGCGUCAGCUAGGAGGCAUCCGCCAACGGAGAUACCCAGUCGGGGUGCCAGGUGAUCCGUUACACUUAUAAUUUCUCUUAUAGGUUUUUCCUUCUCUUGAAUUACCUGUAAAUCUCACUUAUAACAUUCCCUAUCACCUGAUAUCAGCUUGGGGCAUAUUGCCUAAACCACUGUUUCUGUUAUUUCAUCCUCUACCUAUAAUUUCGCUUAUAGCUUCUCCUUCUUCCUCCUAACCUAUAACUUCGCUUAUAGGUUAUCCUUCUUCCUCCAAAACUAUAAUUCCAUUUACAGGUUUUACUUUUAUUUCUUUAUAUCCUGUUAUUUACCUAUAAUUCCAUUUAUAGGUUCUACUUAUAUCUACUUCUCUAUAACCUGUCUGGGGCUUAUUGCCUAAACCCUUAAUUCUAUAACCCUCAUUAUUACUUACCUGUAAUCUCAUUUAUAGGUACUGCUUUAUCCCUCUUGUCUUUAUUUCUUUUAAGUCUUGCUUCACUUAAUAUUAUUUCACGUUUAAAACAUGUCUAACAAUUCCAAUAAAGAACCUUAACUUAACCCCAGUGUAAGUCUCUUUACUGACCUGAUCAGAACCAUGACAUAAACGUUACUUUGUCUGAAUCACUUCACUUUCACCAGUAUUUACGCCCAUAUUAUCCAUGUAAUAUUUAAAUACACACCUCCUACACACUUUGUCCACAACCAUUCUCAUCCUCCAUAUCUUUUCUCAAAUAAGGCCUUUUUUGUAGAACUUCUAAUCCCACCAUUCCAAAUCAGUUAACCUUUCAUGCUGGCAGCUUCACUCAUAGACUUUCCCUUCCUCUCCCAGCAAACAGCAAAAUCCCAUGUGGGGUUCUCUACUCCCAUCUACUCCCUACAUCUGCACUGCUAAAAAACUUUGUGGAUUGCGAUAUAAUCUGUCCUUUAACAUCGAUAGCUAUUUUGGUUACAAUUUAGCGGCCCCCGAAUGCCAGAUUUAGUGCCUGUGGCAUAGGUUUCAUUCAUUGCUACUGAACAUUGUGUUCACUGUUUAUUGGAAUUAGGUGGGCUAAUUUUUUUUGGUACUUGUAUAUUUCACUUAUCAGUUAUAUAGUGCUGUAAAUUAUGUUGGUGUUACAAAUAAAAUGUAUACUAAUGAGAGCAAUUACCAUAUCCAUAUGUAGCAAUUCUGUCACUGCACUAGUCGUAAAUUUAAUUUAUGCAGUAAGUGUAGCAUCAGUGAAUCCACAGUGUAUUUUUAAUAUUUCAUAGGAAGUGCUUCUUACCAAUUAUAUUAUAUAAUUAAUAUCUAUAUAUCAUUCAUUUUCAUUAUAAUGAGCAGAAGAACCCUGCGUACAGAAGGUUUCAAUUAUAUGGGACCAUGGCUAAUCCAGAGAUACAAGUAACAAAGUGAUCAUGCUGCCAAUUGUAAAUAUAAUUAGAAACAUUAUCACAACUGUAAGUAAAAUGAUGUUUCAGCCUAUAAUUGUAUUACCAACAUCAUGUGAUAGAAGUUAGUUCACAUGCCCUUAUAAUCCAAACUAUUGAAGCAAACUAUUCUUUUUACCUUACUGCAGUGAAACAAGGCACCUUCAUCUCUUAUGGUAAGUCAAAUGUGCCCGAACAUACUAGGAACUAUAGUUCACAAAAAUAUAUGGUGCAAAGUAAGCCAUAGCUGUUCUGAUCAUGGUCACUAAAAGUUUGUCCUUGAUGCUUACACUGAUCUGGUAGAUAGACUCUAGGUUCUUCACUGAUCUGAAAAUGCAGAGCAUUGCUGCCUGUCAUUUGCUAAUCAUUUCCCAGUCACCUAAAAUUCCUUAUUUAGUAUAUACUCUGUUUUUGACUGUGAGGGCCCACCAUCACCACUGUUGAAUAUACAUCCUGAGACAGGGAUUGUACCGUCCACGCUCAAUACAUGCUCUUUGCAGCUCUAUAAAGUGUGAGUGAUUUCUCUGUAUUAGUCAAUUUUGUGUGUUUUUUAAGGACAUAUUUGUGAUUGUUUUAUUUUUUUUUCUUUGAAAUAUUAAAUAUUGUAUAAAGGAUAAAGAUCUCAGUCGUAUGUAUGUAUAUCUAUUAUAUAUAUGACUUCACCUAUGGGCUACACUGUUUGUUAGGCGCUGCCAUCUGCUGUUUGUUUUUUGACUGUGAGGUGCAAGUGUAAGGGUUGUAUUCAAUGUAUUGGUUACUGCACAGGGAGCUAUGUCCAUGCAAAUAGCAAUGCUCUCUAGGACAGUGGUUCCCAAACCAGUCCUCAUGGCCCACAAACAAUCCAGGAUUUAUUAUUUCCCUUUUUUAUUUCAAUAGAGGUACUGGCAAAACAUGAACUGUUGCUGGGUUGUGAGGACUGGUUUGGGAACCACUACUCAAAGAUAUUAAAUAGGCACAGUCUUGUAGAAUCAAUUAAAAUCUUCUAGACAAUUUCUUGUGCAGUCCACUCCAGGAAGCAGCAUUAGGAACAUAAAUCACACAAAAAAUUCCUACAAACAAAAUCCUAGCUCAUCUGAGCUCUUACUAACAGAGAUAUCCUUUACUAUCAUGGUUUAAACUAAAUAAAACUGAAUAAAAUACAGGUUUUCACCAACCUUACAGAAUGUCAGAGUUUGAUGCUCUCCAGUCCUAGUAUGCUGCUUCUUGCAAUCAAAAGAGAAAAUAAGUCUCCCUCGUCUAUCUUCUAGGCAGGGAUUUAUUUAAUUUUCUGCUCCUAAUUACUUGCAGCUGAGCCGUGUGUUGAAGUGAGAAUGUCUCUUAGUUGUCUGUAAAUGACCCACUCUACUCUUCUAUUCUCUGCCCCAGGGGCCCACAUCUAACCAUAUUUCUCAUUACGUUGCAAACAAUGCACACUACCCCCGGGGCUAAACAUCAUACACCUCUCUAAAAUAUCUAGAGGACAUAGUUAUACACGCCAUCACAGAUAACACCAUGCACCUUAUCACAGGUAGAAAGUGGUCAAUCCCACUUAUAAUUGUGUUUUACUAAUUAUUUUAGUUCAGGCCUCCUCUAAUAUGGCUAUAUUGGAGACUCAGAGCUGUUAUCCCGGCAAAGGGAGAUAGCACAAAAUAUUGACUCGAAGUGUGCCAAUAAUUGUUCCACACAUAUAUUUCACAAAGAUAAAAAAAAAAACCCUGUGUUGUGUUUGCAAUUGUUUGAUAUCCAUGAGAACAGAGUAUUUUUGUGUUUUUUUUUUUUUAUUAUUUAUUUUUGUAGUACGUAAAAUUGUAACAGUUGCUUGUGAGGUACCCUAAAUCAAUCCUCUAGCGCAUUUCAAACAGUAGGGCAUAGAGGUACUUGUUAAAUCAGGCAUAUAUUUUAUACAUAUAUACAAAUAAUUCGAGUAGUAAACAGUAUGUAUUAUCAUUGUUUAAUCUCAUCUAUGACAUAAACUAACUUCGUUGACAAUGAGAGUAACAAUCAGGCCAGGACGAGGCAGUAUGAAACUGGGAUAAACAGUGCUAAACACUCCCUUCCUAGUGUCUGGCUACACAGGGUUAUACAGUUAAUGUAGUUUUAAGUGUGCUAUGCUAGAUGAAAGUUGAAUAAAGUUAACAUUUUUGUUUUAUACACAUGCUUAUAACGAACAUUGCACAGGUUAAAUGUAAACAAGAAAAACAAUAUGAGGCUUGUGUCUGUUGUUUCUAGGUAUUUGUCUGGGAUAUGUGUUGAUGUCAGUGUGGACUUCGAGCUUUUACGGGUACAUAGAUAUUGUCGAUGAGCGAGGACUGUACUAACAAGUGUUGACGGCAUGCUUGGACACCCGAGUAGCCAUAAAGAGGUUUGGAACGUUCUUCAGGUAUAAGGUGAAAGUGAGAGUAUGUGUGUAUCUGCAGCUAGAUGUUUGUGUUGCUUAUGUGUCUGUUUGUAUGUGUACAGGCUCAAGUGGGUCUACUAUUUUAAGGCGUAGCAACGCUUUGCAUGAGAAAAACAAAAAAUGCAUUUAAUAAUCGAGGGAUCUUGUCUCCGUGAGGUCCCUUGUGAUAGGCGUGGGAGUCCAGAUAGCGUUUGCAUGUGAGUAUGCAGAGUUUUACGUCCAGGUGUUGGGCCUGGUGUCGCACACUUGGACAGUCCUGGUUUCCCUCAGCCUAUGUAUUUCAGGGGUAGGUUCAAGUCCCAUCCGGUGGGGCCACGCAGCCGGUCCAGUGAGGUGAGUACCCGCAGUAGAUUCCAUUGCUGAUAUGUCAGACGUUGGGGGGGUCUGUAGGCAUGCGAUCCUGUUUGGUGGGCCUUUCCCUGCAGAUCCCAGAGUCAUGCUGGUGUUGGAGCUGCCAUGUGGGGGAAUUAGGGGACCGGGUGUCCCUGAUCGUUGGGCUUGGCAUUGGCCCCUUGCUGUCCCUUUGUCUCCUGGUGGGUUAGGGCGGUGAGUGUUAGGGAGUCCUAUAUUGAUCUGUAGACCCUAAGGGGUGUUGUUCUGAGGUGGACCCUGAGAGUGCGGGGCCGGUUCUUAGGAGAGGCCUUAUGCGGGAGAGAGGGAUGGUCCUGUGGCAGCCCUGGAGAUCGUCUCCAUUGGGGCUUUGGGCAACUCACCAGUGGCCUAUGAGUCGGGCUCUGGAGCCGUCGACGGUUCUUCCGCUGUCCUCUCCCCACUGUCCCGGUCUCUCUCAGGGUCCGCACCGGUAUUGCUGGCUUUUGUGCAGUGUCCUCUGUAGCUGGUGCCGGUGGGAUUUUCAUCACGGUGUCUCUGCGGCUGGCAAUCCUGGCCCAGAAGUCAUUGAAUAAGAGGUCUAACCGCUCUGACACUGGUGGCAAACUGGGCUCAGAUGCCGGGACCUAUGUGGCGUCCACAUUGCUGUGAGUCUGCGGCCCGAUGGUGCAGGUGAGCUGGGGUCGGUACCUCCGUCCUAACCUGCAUGCUCUGGAUGCCGGGAUAUCCCUCGCUGGUGGGGGUGGGGGGAGAGGUUGUUCCGGGUAGACCUUCAUUAAAGUAGGCUGCAGUCGGCUGAGGGAUCGGCCGUCUCCCACAUGCUUUCUGAGUAGGCCGCAGGUAGGCCUCAGGUCCCUCCCCUGGAAGCGGUCGCCUUUUUAGGUCAAUGUCUCGGUAGUGCAUCAUCUCGAUUGUAUACCCCUAUUCCUGGGGUUGAAAAGCUUGGAAUAUGCAGUUUUUGCAGUAGUUUUGCUUGUUUUAAGAUUAUUUAUUCCAGAGCUCGGCUGAGGUGCGUCCGCUAAGUUUGGCUGUCAAACUCCGCCCCCCAUUUCUUUUGUUUUAAACAAAAAAUCUAAAGGUUAAACAAGAGACAAUUUUCACAUCCUUCUUUGGUCAUAUUUACCAAGGCUGCCAUUAUUAUUGGAGGGCACUGUAUGUGCGGAUUAUUGUUGGCAGAGUGUCAAUGGGCUCUUUUAAAAAAAUAUAUUUUUUAAUUCUUUAUUUUUUGCCGCUUUUAGUAGGGUCAUCAAAUAGAAGCAUACAGUUCACAAUCACAUUAGAGACAGUUGUCUGAUUCAGUACAUUUUGAUAUCACUUUGAGUGCAUAAUCCAUGCAACCAAGCUUAAUCCCAACAAACACACUUAUAGCUUUGGAAGUUGCAAGACAUUUGGCAACGAUUAUCGAGGUUGGGUCUAUACUGUAGGUACGUACAAUCAUACAUGUCUGUUCGUUGGUAUAAACAUGCCCAAUGGAAUUGCAAGUGGCCAAAGGCCUAGUAGGAGGAUGCCCUGCUCUACUGAUACUUCCUGUCUAUAUUGGUGCUAUGAGUAUGUGUGUCUCUACAUCAGUUUUUUUCACCCGCCUUAUGAGGUUUUUUUUAAUUUAGUUUAGUUUUUCUUUCUGGUACUAUUAGGUCAAUGGGCUCAUUUUAAAGAGGUCUUCUGAGAGAUGAUUUUAUUGUUGCAUAGUAGCUGCUGUGAGGAUGGCACAUAUUCCUUCUGCAAUGGGGGAUUUUAAACACAGAGUGUUAGAAAAAUGUAAUUGCAAAACUCUUGCAGUGAGGGAAAUGUGAGAAGUUUGAAUUGGAUGCAAAUUGCAAUACAAUAAUAUGUUUCUGACAUUAAUUGUAGGAUUAAACAACUGCAAAUCCUCCAUGAUAUUUUGCAGUAUACAUUAGUUUACUUUUGGUGGGACAAUUCCUCUUUGAAAUCCAAAUCCCUUUGUCCCUCUUUUCUAUCAUCAUGAAUCCCAACUGUCCGAGAAGUCACACUGUUCAGAUCUGGAAUCCAGUCUGCUAUACUGUAUCGUUUCUCUGGAUUUCUCUGCCUCCGUGCCAUUGAAUGUGUUUACACAUGUAUUUGUGCCAAAUUAAAAUUGAGCUCUGUUUGUCUACUAUGGCCAUGGGCAUCAAGUUGGACAGCCUUGGUGAGUGCAUUUGUUGUUGCAUUAUUGUUUUCUUUCUAGAGAAAAUGCCUUUUGUGCCUGUCAUAAAAAGUGUGCCUGUCAUAAAUAAUUACACAACUUAAAUUAAGGAUCAUAAAUUGCUGACAUAAUUGGUAGCAAAUUUAUUGCUGUUUUUUUUUUUUUUUUUGCCAAUCAGUUCUCAGCAUUCAGGACUUUGCUACCAGUGCAUGCACUGUAGUUGCUGCGAUAAGUCUUCUGUCGAGCAUGUCUUGUUCUAUGACUAAAGUAUAUGGGAAGAGAUUAACAAAUGCUACUCUGUUGACACACAGGUGCAAUGGAUAAUAAUUUCACGCAUCUGAUCAAAGAGGACUUAAAGAGAAACAAUCACUUUCAACAUUUUAGCACAGCUUGAUAAGUAAACAUCAGCUAUUGAUUGCUAGUUCUUAAAUAAUGUUGUGACAUAAAGCAAGGGUAAACUAGGAGAUGCACUGAAAAAAACAAGCCAUUUUGCAUGUAUGCAAUGCAAAAUAAUAUACAUAGACCAUAGUACAUGCAUUAUUACAUGGUGACAUUUUGUUUUCCUUUAAGGAGAUGUUAUCACUUAAAGUGAUCUUGGCAGGUUCACUUUAAUAAGUUUGGCUUGAAGAGCAAAGUGAAUUACCCUUAACAGUAGUAGUAACACUUUCCUGCGUGGUAAAUCCAUGCAGCUCAAAGUUAUCACCAUUGCUCAGUCUUAUCUAAUAAAAUGUACUUUUUAAUUUAUGCAAAAAUGAAUGAUGAAUGGAUCACUGAGAAAGGAGUAGUGCUUGUGUGUUUUGCAGCAGGUGCGGAGGAUGUGGCUGCUGUCUGAGUGGGCGGCGUGACUCAAUCGACUUUGUUGGCACACUGCCUAGAACAGGUGAGGAAGUUGGGAGAUGAAGCAACAAUGACAGAUGUGAAAUAUUAAUACCUUACACUCCUUCAUCCACACUGUGCUGUCAUUGAGUUAUGUCACUAUAUGUAUAGAAUUGUUCUUGAAAAUUAUAGUUUUUAUAAAGCUGGCAUAGGCACUUGACUAACUUUGACAACCAUCAAUCUGCCACAACCUGGGCAUUCCUUACUGUCAGAAAAUCCCAGCAGUUGUAGAUAGUAAACAUUUGGAUUGCCGCAGAUAACCUAUAGUUAUUUUAAACCAGACUUGUACAUCGGCUAAAUUUGGUCCGAUUGGCUUUACAGCAAAAUUUCGUAUCUCCGAAGUGCCAUGCCAAUAUAUAACAGAACAAACGACUAGUGAGGUGGACGAACAUAUUACUUUGAUUCCGUAUUUUUAGUUCUGCCCACGGUGCCCCCCCCAAAAAAGAAGAAAAGAGCUGUGUAAUUGGAAAUAAAAGAUGAUUGAUGGCUAGAGGACAGCCACUAAAUGUUGAUUUUUAUUACACAGUUUAAGUGAAAAGUGACAAAUAAAAGGAGAGAAUGUAGGAGUUGUGAAAAAAUACAUACCGUAUUUACUUGAAUCUAAUGCACCAUUGCAUCUAACGCAGAUUCAAAUUUUGGGAACUUUAUUUUCCAAAAAAGCGGCAUAUUAGAUUUGAGUAAAUAGGGUAUAUUUAUGUAUUAUAUAUUGAAUAAAUAUAUUAAUAUAUAAAUAAAUAUAUUUUAAUGCUCCUCCCCUUUCUAAUAUAUUGGUUACUAUAUAAAUAUAUAUGCACCUUGCGGAGCACUGCAAAAGAUAUACAUAAUUUGUGGUCUGCUUUCGAGUAUCUGGCCUUUGCUUUGUAUGAUUCUUUCUUUUGUCCUGCUGCCCAGGGUUGACGAUAAAGUAUCCCUUUUUUGUUGCUAUUUUGGAGGCCACAAUAAUCAAAAUAUAUUGAAAUAUUGGCAGUGGAAGCUUAUUGUAUUAUUGUAGAAAGUUAAAGGAUUUUUAAUUUACGGAGGCAUUUCACAAACAUUUAACUGGAGCAAAUUUCUGAUCAGUGUGUGCUUUUGAGUUUUUUAGUUCAAACACAAAACGUUCUUUAAAAACUACAAGACUAAUUAGCAGCUUUGACUUUGAAAGUUAUGUUUGUGACUUAAAAAGUAUCUUCUUUAUUAUGGUAUUAUUUUUAGAUUCAGUCGAUAUUGAUAUAAAAUAACUGGGUUUUAGACUUGUUUUUCAUGAAAGGAAUUAAACAUGUUUUAUACCUCUUCUGUUACAAAGUUAAUUACACAUCCCUUUGGGUUUAUAUAACUAGACUCAGGGCCGGCGCGUCCAUAAGGCGGCACAGGCGGCCGCCUUAGGGCGCACCGGCCAGGGGGCGCAAAUGUCCGGGUGGCCGGCAGGAGGGAAGCGCACAGCGUACAGCAGAGAGCAGCAUAAGGCAGAGAAGAGGGGGGCUGGGCACUGAGCAGGACUAGCUCCUCCAACUCCCAACUACCUCAGGCAGCACUCUGGAUCCCAGGUAAGCCACCCUCCUGAUCCCACAAAGUAGGAAACAGGAGAGUGGCUAGAAAAGUGUAUAUUUUGCCCAGCAUGUGUGUGUAUCUGUGUGUGUGUGUAUGUGUAUGCCUGUCUGUGUGUAUGUCUGUCUGUCAGUGUCUGUCUGUCAGUGUGUCUGUGUGUAUCUAUGUCUGUCAGUGUGUGUGUGUCUGUCUGUUAGUGUGUCUUUGUGUGUGUGUGUAUGUAUGUCUCUAUAUGCCUACCUCUAUGUUUCUUUAUGUCUGUGUCUGUAUUUCUGUGUGUGCCUGUGUCUGUAUGAAUGUAUGUCUGUGUUUGUACGACAAUGUAUCUGUAUGUGUAGAUUGUAUGACUGUGUUCAUUUUAUUGUGUGCCUUUUAUGACUGUGUCCCUUUAAAUCUUUGUGACUGUGUGCCUGAAUAAUUAUGUCUAUGUGCUUGUAUGGUUGUGUGUCUGUAUGUUUUUGUAUUUGUGCAUGUAUGUAUUUUUGUCUGUAUCUAUGUCUAUAUGGGAUAAAAAGAGAGAUAGAUAGGGGCUGGGGGGAAGAAAGAGACAGAAAGGGGCUGGCGGGGAAGUAAUAAAUACAUAAGAGGGGUUGUAGGAGACACACUAAAGGAGGGUGUAAGGCACAAAGGGACAUUCAAGAGAGUGGAUAUGCAACACUAAUGGGGGUAAGAAAUUCAAAAGGGGGCUACGAGAGACAGAGGUGAAGAUGCAUUGGGUUUUUGGAGUGCGGGGACGGCGUCAAAAUGCAUCUUCGCCUGUGUAGUCAAAAAUCCUAGCACCGGCCCUGACUAAACUUUAUAUCAAAUAUUUGAACGUUCUCUAAAUACCACCAGUAUGCUCUGCAAAAAUCUGAUUAGCAAUCACUGCUUACUAUGCCAUGUAUCAAAUUCCUUGAUACUAUAAAGGUGAUGGGACAUGUUGGGCCCUAUUUAGAUUUAUAACUUUUUUCAUUUUUAUGAAUAAAAGACCAAAAGCACAAAUAAGAAAACAAAGUACCAGUAAAACCAGCCUAUUAUGCAUUGUUUUUCCAUGCAAUGGUCCAGCUAACCAAAGUUUUGUUUUUUUAAUAAAAUUUUUCUUAUUGAAAAGAGAGAUGUAAUACAAAGUUGAUAAUGUCAACAUUAUCACAGACCCUUUUUUAAAAAAAAAAAAAUGUCUUUAUUUCUUUAUUCCGGUGAUGAUUGUAUACACAGGAUUAACAGAGGAACAUUUGCAUAACAAUACCAAUACAAGGUGAUGCCAUAAAGUCAUUCGUAUUUUAACAGCAGGUUUAUAUUCAACUUUUUGCGUUAUGCGUUAACAUUCCUAACCAGUAAUCAGUUGUCUUUCUGAAUUGCAUAUGGCCAGGCCUUUGAGCUUCAAACCACCCUGAACAGGCCUAUUCACCCACAUAAUAAUAUAACAACUUACUGGUGUAUGAGAGCCCGUCUCUCUCAGUACCAUUUAGGAAACCAGGUUUUCUGAAGGAUUUCAUAGCGCCAGGCUGGAUUUGAAGAAUCUAGUGAGAAAUAAGUAAAGUAGGAAAAAGAAGAAAGGGCGAGAUAGAAGAAGGUUAAUUACCGAUGUAGGACAUGGAGGUAGAGAUGGUGAGAGGAGGUGUUACUAUCAGUCCUUAUGGGUUUUUAUCUGGUAUGCAGGCGGGGGAGGCAGAGGGGCUAGACCCUGCCCUUAGUUGCGUCUUAUUGUAAGUCAACUGAGAAUGGGUCUCCGUUACUUGGAUUCAGCCUGGCACCCCACCCAUUCUUCCCACCUGUCCCAUGCAGCUAUCUUUUUAUAAGCUUAGAAUAGCAUAUAAAUGAAGAGCAUAUAUAAAACAAAUGAUAUAAAUAUGCUAUUGUUGCAAUAAAUCCAAUAGUAGACAGAAUGUUCUUAUAUUAAUACAAUUGUAUCACUUAGAAUAAAAGUUCAUAACAGUCCGUGAAUAAUGUUAGCUGUUUCAGCUUUUACCAGUUAUGAACAAACUGGAAUAGUGGAUGCUGAAUUAGCUGAAUUAGUAUAGUACAAAUAUAUUUGAUUGCAAAUAUAGCAAUAGUGAUUAGCAAACAUACUUAUGUACUUGUGAAAAAAGAAAUAAUAAUCACUAGCAGGUCAUAAUUAGUGACUUGCAGUAUAAUAGGAAGAAAAUCCCUCCGGUCUUGCAGAGACUAAUGCAAAGAUGCUUUCUGUGUUAAAAAUGAAUAGAUUUAUUGUCCACAGAAUAAAAUUAAGAUUGCACUUACAAUUGAGCAAAGAGCUAAAUAUGCUGAGCUGGAAUCGGGAAAGUAUGGUGUUAGCAGCUGUUAGGUGCUGGUCCUGCCGGCAGAUGAUGCUGGGAGCCGCGUGCGUGUCACUGAUCUUCCUGCGUUCCAGAUACAGCCUGUUCGUCUUUAUGGUAAGUGCCAGAAAGUGAAAUAAUGUCCUUACGCGUUUCGUGAGUCUGCUGCUCACUUCAUCAGAGGUUGUUGAGCAGGAGAGACCCACGGGUUUAAAUAGCCAGUGGUUACUUUGGCUUUUGUUAACCCUUUCAGGCUGAAAUCCAUACUUGCUCUGUCUCAUAGUAUAUUUCACAGUUGUAAUUCACAAUUAUAAUUCAUAUAAGUUCUAAAUGUUUUUAUACACAUAUAUUUGAAUAACUUUAAUAGUGAAAAAGAUACAAAUGAAUAAAAAAUAAUAAAAAAUAAAAUACAUUUUAUACUAAAACUUUCAAUUGCAAAAUUUUUUUUUUUAAUGAAAAAGGACUUUGAUAUAUAAGAUUCUAGUUCAUUAAAAGACUAUUGGAAUAUUUUAAAAGGGGAUCCUCAACUAGAUCAAAUAUUGGAAAAGUGACCUAGAAUUAUAUAUUCUAAAGCCCCAAAUCUAAGUCUACUAUUAGCUCCAACAACUAAACAAGAAAAAAUACAAGAAAUUAAUAAUAUUUCAAAGAAAACCUUAGGUUUCUGGAAAUGUGGAAGAUGUCAAGCCUGUAAUAAUAAUCCAAAUCAGCCAACUAAAACCACACAAUUUGCCCAUCCCCAAACAAAAGAAUGUUUUAAAAUUAAAUCGCAAUUAACAUGUGACACAAAGGGUGUGAUUUAUCUAUUAAAAUGUCCAUGUGAAAAACUAUAUAUAGGACGCACAAAAAGAACAUUUAAAAUAAGAAUGGGAGAACAUAUCAGGAACAUCAAAAAAGGACUCCAUUCUCAUAAUCUUUCCAAACACUUUGACAUUAAACAUGCAAAAAAUCCUGGAGGUCUCAACUUUAUGGCAAUACAAAAAGUCAAUAUCCCAUGGAGAGGAGGCGAUUUAGAAAAAGAAUUAGAUAAAGCAGAGGCAAGUUGGAUAUUUAAAUUAGAAACAUUAGAACCAAAGGGAUUAAAUGUAGAUUUUGAGUUGCGAGCAUUUUUAUAAAAACAAUUUUUAGAAUACCUUUUAUAAAAUUAAGUAUUCUUUUUUUAUGUCUAUUUAUAUUUUUAUUCAAUCAAUGAAUUAUUCUUCUUUUUAGUUCAAAUGAUUUCUCCUUCAUAUCAGUCUCCUAUAUAAUAUAACACUAUUGUUCUCUUAUAUAGAAUUAUUUUCGUAUGUAUAUGUAAAAAUUUUUUUAAUGAGUUAUGAAAUCUCUUUUUCCAAUAAUAUGUCUAUAUUAAUUAUUUAGAUUAACUGGUAUCCACUGAUCUUUACAAAUGCAUUGCAUGGAAAUUAUACUAUUUGAAAAAUAUGCUGACACAUCUAUUUUAUCAGACAUUCCAAUAGAGUCUUUUAAUGAACUAGAAUCCUUUUUCAUUAAAAAAAUGUUGCAAUUGAAAGUUUUAGUGUAAAAUGUAUUUUAUUUUUUAUUAUUUUUUAUUCAUUUGUAUCUUUUUCACUAUUAAAGUUAUUCAAAAAUAUGUGUAUAAAAACAUUUAGAACUUAUAUGAAUUAUAAUUGUGAAUUACAACUGUGAAAUAUACUAUGAGACAGAGCAAGUAUGGAUUUCAGCCUGAAAGGGUUAACAAAAGCCAAAGUAACCACUGGCUAUUUAAACCCGUGGGUCUCUCCUGCUCAACAUCCUCUGAUGAAGUGAGCAGCAGACUCACGAAACGCGUAAGGACAUUAUUGAAAAUUCCUUAUUACCACUUCAAGGAAAUUCCAGCUCAAACAGACAAACACCUUUUCCACGUCUAGGUAAAGCAUGAGCCCCUUUGUCCCUUGUUUCUUCAUUGAAUGCAUAAUAUCCAGCACUCUCCUCGUGUUGUCUGUCCCUUGUCUACCUUUCACAAAUCCAUAUUGGUCAGGGUGCAUUAAUGUUUUGUGGAUCUGAGUUUAGCAAAGAUAUGAGCCUGAAGUUUCUACAGCCUGUUAGGGGUUUACCUGGUUUUGGGAGGUUAAUCACCGUUGCGGCAAUCAUGUCUUGGGGCAGUUUAGAAUGUUGGAUUGCAUUGUGAAAUAAACAGAGCAGGUGAGGGGGCUAAGGUUUUGCAAAUUUUUUUAUAGUAAAUGAUUAAAAGGCCAUCUAGGCCUGGUGUUUUGUUGGCUUGGAGGUUUUGAAUAGCUGCCUCAAUUUCUUCUAUGGUAAUUGGUUCUGACAGAAGCUCUCUUGGAGUGGAGGAGAGUGUAGAUGUCUGUAUGUGUUCUAGUAAUGUUGUGGAUUCAGUUACAGUAGAGGGGUGCUUUUUUGUCCCUUUUUGUAUGUUAUACAGCGUCUCAUAGAAGGUAGCAAACUCAUUGCUAAUGGAUGCUGGGGAAAUGACCUUAACAUUAGCAUCUGUUUUAAUAUAGGGGAUUUUUGGAUCUAGCGUGGAUAUCUUUCAGCGCGGAAGCUAAUAUUUUCUCUGCUCUAUUUACCUGUGUGUAGUGGAAAAGCUUUAGUCUUUAACAGGAAACUAGUACAUUGCAAGUAUGCCUCCUGGAUCUUAUAUUGGGUCUGCAGUAUUUCCUUUCUAAGGCGCUUAGUGGGUUUUGUUUGUUUUGGCUUUUUCAGGUCCUGUAGCCUUUCUUCCCAUUUCACCAACUUAGAAUUGGGAUGCCCUUUUGAUAUGAGCUGCCUGUUUAAUAAACAGUCCCCUCACGACCGCUUUGUGAGCCAGCCAAACUAUGUCUAGUCUCACCUCAGAUGUAUUGUUAGUGGAGAAAUACAGAGUUAUCUUCGUUAACACUUUUGUGAGUAUUUGGGGGUUUGGAGAAGAGACUCAUUCAGUCACCAGAGGAGCUUGUUCUUAAAAGAAAAUUUGUCCAACAACGUGAGUGUAACAGGGGUGUGGUCCGACCAUUCAAUAUUCCCUAUCUCAUAGGCUGUGACUUUCUCAAGGUGUGUGCCUUUGAUAUAGUAUUGAUCUAUCCUUGUAUAACAGUUAUGUACCCAGGAGUAGUAUGUGUAAGCUUUGUCCAUUGGGUUGUGCAACCUCCAGACAUCAUAGAGGUUGUAAGAGUAAAAAAAGUGAGGUCAAUUGUUUGGCCAGUUUUGUCAGCUUUUUUACUCUUACUGUCCAAGGUGGAGUUAACUAAGGGGUUUUGAAGGCAGUUGAAGUCCCCACCCCCCUCCCCAAGGAUUAGCAAACCUUGUUGUAUUUGAUCAAUUUUGGAUAGGACCAGGGUUAAAAAAUCUUUUUGGUUGUUGUUAGGGGCAUAUAUGUUAGCUAUUGUGAGGAUAUUUAUGGGGAUGAAUUAUUAAUAAUUUUUUAUUAAUUAAAAAUAAUAUUUUCAUAAAAAUUAUUAAAAUUAAUAAUCUUCAUUAAAAUAUCAGCGGUUGAUAUUUUAUUGGCGCUAUUCCCAAUUAUUAUUUUAAAAGCGAAGAGUUACUCACUAUUUUAACUCUAAGACUUAGAAUUUAAUAUUUCAUUUUACACUGACCUCUCUGGCAGCACACUGGCCUGGCAGUGGUCACUCAAGCCUCUUACCACACUUCUCCAACAGCAAAACAUCGGAUACCACUGGCGCAUGUCCUGCACGCUCCUGGGGACACAUGGGGACACUACAUAUCCUCUCCAGGACCUGGAAGAUGCAACGGCGCUCCUAAGGAACUUGGACCUACCACAGGACUAUCUAACAAGGCCCCAGUCGCAGGCCGCUUCUAGGCACCCGCACAAUUGGGACCCUGCCAUAAUCAUUCCAUUCACCCCACACCGACCCACAACAGAAUCGUAUGCAGCUGCCACUACGUGAAGCCCAGAGAGACCUUAGGAUUCAGACUGGCACGGCUAUGUUUAUGUUUACCUGAUACCACUGUUCAUGUUCCUCGUUUUCUUUGUUUUUCUAGUACACAACAUACCUGUCACUACAUGCCUACCGACAGGUAUAGCUCCCGCAAAGAGGCAAACCCCCCCCCAAGACCUCUGUCCACUAUAUAGACAAGAGAGGCGUAAAAACCCAUACCUAAAUGUAUAACUAUCCUGCUUUAAGGUGGUAAUGCCUGUAAAGCGCACACCUGACCAGCAACCAGUGGUGUAUCCUGGUUUUGUGCUGCCCUAGGCAGGACAAAACUCAGGCGCCCCCCUCCCCCCCGCGCCACCCCCACCCAACCCUUCCCCCCGCCCCACCUUCUAAAUACACACACACACACAGUCAGACACAAACACACACACACACAGUCAGACACAUACACAAACACACACACAGUCAGACACACACACAAACAGUCAGACACAAACACACACACAUACACAGUCAGACACACACACACACACACAGUCAGACACACACACACACACACACACAUACACAGUCAGACACAAACACACACAGUCAGACACAAACACACACACAAACACACACAGACACAUACACACACACAAACACAGUCAGACACAUACACAGACACAAACACACACACACACACUCACAAACACACACACAGUCAGACACAAACACACACACACACACACACACAAACACACACACAUUAACUUUUUUUUUAAUUUAAAUCCCCCCCCAACCUCCUUACCUUUGGGAGUGCUGGGGGGGGGUCUCUCUCCCUGGUGGUCCAGUGGCUGCAGGGCGUGCGGCGCUGGCAGGUGGGCGGCCGGCGAGGGAGCACUUCCCAUGAGCUGACUGCUCAGCUCCCUCGCGCGUCGGCUGCAGAGUGAGGCUGGGAACCGGAAGAUGACGUCAUCUUCCGGCUCCCAGCCUCACUUUGCGGUGCGCGAGGGAGCUGAGCAGUCAGCUCAUGGGAAGUGCUCCCUCGCCGGCCGCCCGCCUGCCAGCGCCGCACGCCCGCUCGGGAUGUCAGUUAGCCGCAAGGCUAACUAGGCAUCUGCCCUGGGCAUUUGGGGGGCGGCGUUUUUUGCCGCCCGCUGAAAAAUGCCGCCCAAGGCAAAUGCCUUGUUUGCCUCGCGGCUAAUACGCCCCUGCCAGCAACACCUGCUAUGUGCAUGUCUACAGGCUGAUAGCCAUCUAGCCACCGAAGUUAUCAUCAAGCUGUAUGGAGUUUCCAUCUCCACAAAACCAGUGGACACAACCCAUUAUAUUGUAAGCUUUAACCAAAUAACUUUCACACACCACAAGCUUGUUACAUCCCGAUAAAUGUUUAAAAUGUUUUCCACUAUUAACCGAUGUGGUCACUCCACAGCGGGCAAAGAGUACCAACGCUAUCAUAGGUACUUUGAUUAUGCAAACUAUGCCUGUGUUAUUAUCUGCCUAGCUUGUUCAUACACCGCAUGGAAAAUGCCUAAUAGUUAGACAUGCUUAUGUUCUUGCAAUAACAGGUUCAUAGCCUAACAAUCUGUAUAAUCUAAUAUAUAUACAGUUGCAAGAAAAAGUAUGUAUACCCUUUGGAAUGAUAUGGAUUUCUGCACAAAUUGGUCGUAAAAUAUGAUUUGAUCAUCAUCUAAGUCACAACAAUAGACAAUCACAGUCUGCUUAAACUAAUAACACACAAAGAAUGAAAUGUUGCAAUGUUUUUAUUGAACACACCAUGUAAACAUUCACAGUGCAGGUGGAAAAAAUAUGUGAACCCCAUAGACUAAUGACAUCUCCAAGAGCUAAUUGGAGUGAGAUGACAGCCAACUGGAGUCCUAUCAAUGAGAUGAGAUUGGAGGUGUUGGUUACAGCUGACCUGCUCUAUAAAAAACACACAGCAGUUCUGGGUUUGCUUUUUACAGGAAGCAUUGCCUGAUGUGAAUGAUGCCUCGCACAAAAGAGCUCUCAGAAGACCUACGAUUAAGAAUUGUUGACAUGCAUAAAGCUGGAAAGGGUUAUAAAAGUAUCGCCAAAAGCCUUGCUGUUCAUCAGUCCACGGUAAGACAAAUUGUCUAUAAAUGGAGAAAGUUCAUCACUGCUGCUACUCUCCCUGGGAGUGGCCAUCCUAUAAAGAUGACUGCAAGAGCACAGCGUAGUCUGCUGAAUGAGGUGAAGAAGUAUCCCUGUUAGCGAAUCUACAAAAUGUAAAACACUAAACAAGAAUGGAUUUCAUGGGAGGAUACCACAGAGGAAGCCACUGCUGUCCAGACAAAACAUUGCUGCACGUUUACAGUUUGCACAAGAGCACCUGGAUGUUCCACAGCAGUACUGGCAAAAUAUUCUGUGGACAGAUGAAACCAAAGUUGAGUUGUUUGGAAGAAACACACAACACUAUGUGUGGUGAAAAAAAGGCACAGCACACCAACAUCAAAACCUCAUCCCAACUGUGAAGUAUGAUGGUGGGGGCAUUAUGGUUUGGGGCUGCUUUGCUGCAUCAGGGCGUGGACGGAUUGCUAUAAUCGAAGGAAAAAUGAAUUCCCAAGUUUAUCAAGACAUUUUGCAGGAGAACGUAAGGUCAUCUGUCUACCUGCUGAAGCUCAACAGAAGAUGGGUGUUGCAACAGGACAAUGACCCAAAGCAUAGAAGUAAAUCAACAACAGAAUGGCUUAAACAGAAGAAAAUACACCUUCUGAAGUGGCCCAGUCAGAGUCCUAACCUCAACCCGAUUGAGAUGCUGUGGCAUGACCUCAAGAAAGCGAUUCACACCAGACAUCCCAAGAAUAUUGCUGAACUGAAAAAGUUCUGUAAAGAGGAAUGUUCAAGAAUUACUCCUGACCGUUGUGCACGUUUGAUCUGCAACUACAGGAAAUGUUUGGUUGAAGUUAUUGCUGCCAAAGGAGGUUCAACCAGUUAUUAAAUCCAAGGGUUCACAUACUUUUUCCACCUGCACUGUGAAUGUUUACAUGGUGUGUUCAAUAAAAACAUGGCAACAUUUCAUUCUUUGUGUGUUAUUAGUUUAAGCAGGCUGUGAUUGUCUAUUGUUGUGACUUAGAUGAUGAUCAGAUCACAUUUUAUGACCAAUUUGUGCAGAAAUCCAUAUCAUUCCAAAGGGUUCACAUACUUUUUCUUGCAACUGUAAAAUGUUCAGAAGGUACACCUAGUGUUGAGCCUUUUAGGCAGUCCCAAAACCUGGAUCAACAUACCUAGCCUGUAUCAAUCGUGUUCAUAGCAAACCAUAACAUUUGUAUUUACCUUGUUAUAAACUGUGCUAGUAUACUCAUUGCCACAGCAAUGUAUUCUUCUUACCUAGCAAAUGUGUUUAACUCAGCUCGCAGUUCUUAUAAUUAAUGUGUAAGCUACAUAACACACAUAUUUGACUACUCAUGAUUUACCUAAGUAACACUAAAUGUCAGAUUAAUCUAACAUACCACUCUUGAACUCACUAUCCUGACUUAGCUAUCCUUUACCUAAUAACAAAAAACGUGCCUACAUUUCAAACGUCACAAUUUGUUUUGCAUACUGUACUCCUCUAUACCUUGAUACCGCUGUUGUGGCGUACUGAGGCUGUUUGUUCAUUUUGUGCACAACAACAAAAUAAACACGUGUAAAUAUACAUGAUAAUUAGUGAACAGUUUUCAAUAACAUUGAAUAAAAUAUGGCAUAAUUCAGUAUCACAAUCACAGUAAAGCAAUUUCAAACUUUGUUAGAGUGAUGGAAUUGUUCGUCCAUGACAAUUUCAACAGGGUUAGCAAAUGGAACGUUUUACUUCAUAUACAAUUGAUUGAGACAAUCAGCAAAUAGUAUGUCACUAUUUGUUAAAUUAUAAAGAACCAUAUGAGUAAUCAGCAUAUGGAUUCUUAUAAUUUAAAGGCAGAUUUUUCAGAAUCUUAAGGAACACAAUCUUAGUUUUUCUCUUAGUAGACUUACAACGUGUGUAUUGUUUGUCCAUUGUAAACAUUCAUUAGACUUAACUGGACAUAGAUUGUAAAUUACUCAAGUUAUCUGUACACAAAGUUCUAUGGACAAUGUUUAAUCAGCUAGCCACAGACAAGUGCUGACAAGUCAGUUUAAGUUUUUAACUCAUACAGGAUUUUUAUUAGCUCAUUGCUGUUUCACAGAGUAAUUCAUUAUGAUUAAUUAAUCCAUUCAGUAACUAAAUUCUUGCAUGUUUAGUUAAAAUAAUUCUUAUCUGAUAAAUAUUUCCUAGAUUUGCUAUCUGAUUAAUAUUAAUCUGGGUAACUCUGGAUAUUCUCUCUUUAUUUCAUGAUACCAAUUUGUUUCCCAGUCAAGAUUGUUUCAAGAUCUUCUAGAUUGUCAGAUGUCCAGGGAUUUCAAGAGAUCAUCGUGCUUCUCCUUUCUUUUUCUUUUCUUGUUCUAUCCCUGUGUCAUGGGGUUAUGUCAUUCCUUAUCUGUUAAUUUUCUGACCUAGUCUAAUGGGAAUUUUGGGGCAAGUCUUAUGUUAAUGGCUGCUGACCUCAUUUUGAUAUAUAUUUCUAUAUGUUUCAAAUAGCAGGUGGAGCUGUUGGUUUACGUCAGGAAUAUUACCAGCUAUUAUCAUAUGUAGGAUUAACUCUUGUAUAAGCCAAUUUAGAAAUGUUUUAAUUUCAAAGCUUCUAAGUCAGCGUUAACUUGCAACCCCAAUUGAAGUGAUUCAACCUAGAAGCCACAAAAACCGUACUAUCAAAUCAAUGAAACCUCUUUGUGUGAUCCCCAUUAGAAGACACACUGUUUCCAAAAUACAGAACAAAAAACUCAGCACCUGUGAAGACCCCAGCUCCUUAGUCCGACUCUACAACAAAACCAUGAGAGAUACCCUAGAAAUCACUGCACAAACACGCAUAUGCACUGGCAACACCCACAACAAUGCACUGUGGUUUGAUCACACCAUCAGAGAAAUGAAGAGAACAGGUCAUAAACUCGAGAGAUAGUGGCUCAGGACACAUGAUCCAGAGGAUAAAGCCACUCUUACUAAACAUAAUAUACAGAGAAAUAAAGGAAGAGUAAAAAUGUGGAGAGGGGUGAAGGAGGGGAUAUAGUAAGUGGAAUAGGCCAUUUCACUAACUUAAUAUUCUAUCCAUGGUCGCCAAAUUUUAUUGUGGGAGGCUAGAUUGCCUUUAAGCUAAGCUGGCAUUUCUUCCAUAUCUUGUAUGAAAUUCCCUUUUCUAAUACAUAGUCUAUUGUGGGAUCUUCCAUCUCUUAGUAAUAUAUAAUCUUCCAGCAGUAUAAAUCAUAUGGCAAAAGGACUAUGUGGCAUAACAUAAGUGCAUCGCUGAGUGGUUGCCAUUUAGUAGAGCCAAAAUAGCAUCAGGAAAUAUUGGUGUGAAAAACACAUCUCUCGGACACAAAGAUCUCUUUUGGAAGAGAUGUGGAAGACAAUAUGGACCAUCUACAUAUGCAUUUAUAUCCAUUUAGCUUGACUGUAUUACAGAUAGAUCAUUUGUAACAAUUUGAGAAUAUUUUCGCCCAUCUCUCUUCCAAUAUCAUGUUGCCUAAAUUUCUGGAAUGCCAUUUUCCGUCAUAAAAAACGUAUUUGAUAAAAAGCUGUGGAUUGUUAAUAUUGACCCACUAUCAGAAAAAAUUUAACUUGUAUAAACGUUUAACUGACAUCAUAUGGUUCCGAUUCACGGUAUGUGGCAAGCACACGAGAAAAGCUAUUUCCAAGAUUUUUCAGUUCUGAUUGAGGCAUAGAUUUGUUUAUUAUCAUAUUCUCAUCAGUGAGCGAUUGAGCAAAAUGACCCACGGCCACCAGAUUAUUUCUCUGCGAAAAUCAUCUUUCGUCCUGCAACUUUUAAGGUGACUGUGACGAGACCAAUCUCGCCACUGUGCUUUGGAGGAGCCUGGUUGCCCGCCUGCUACCUUUAGACUAUGGCCCCAUGUUGAAACACUUGAUUUUCCCCUGCAAAGACACGAAAACCAGGUCAUUCGGUACUUGCCUUAUUUGAACAGUGGUACCCCAGAUAGCUAUGCCAUGGAGCCCAUUCGUAUAACGAAAGACUAUGUGAAAGACUUUGGCUUCAUGGCAAUUGAACUGUAUGUAUGUGAUCUGAGUGCCAUUCUGUAAUAAUGUGCGCUCUGAGCUAAGCUAUCUGGGGAUAUGUUAAAUGUACCUGUUUUAUGCAAUAGCUGCACAGUUAUAUAUUUUCAUGUAUUUUAUUGUCUUUUGCUACCAUGUGUUCAAUGGAGUUCUGCCUCUGUCCUUGAAGAUAAUUGGAUUACUUCCCAAUUAUCUCCAGGAUAGAAGACUCUGUGGAACUGGUUUUGGGCAGAAAAGCCAUGCUUCAUUUGGUCACAAAGGACUUUGAUCUAAUUUUUGUCCCACUGGACCAAUUUGUAUGAUUUUGAUGUAUGUUUGUAUUUGGAGUAUGCUGAUUCUGAAAAUGUAAGUAAUAAUGCAUCACUUUCACAUAAGUUAUGAAUAUUGUGUAAAACUGUGCAGAGGGGAGGAUUUUGUGUGGGAGUGUCUGAGUGUAUUGUACAUGUUUAUUGGUUGUUGUACAAAACCCUGUGGGUGGUACUAAUGUGUAAGAAUGUGUAUAUAAGAACAAUAAACCCACAGCUCUGUCUGUUCCUGUUUGACUCUCAACACGGAGUCUUGUCUCGUUCUUGGGGGGGUUUAUUGUAUGCUGUUCCAGUUCGACUGCUAGGAGUGUAAACCUUUCGUAUGUUUUUUCCUAUUCGGCUGUUUACAGCAUUCGUAUGUUUGAGAGCAUUUACAUGCGUCUCCGGUUCGGUUGAUUGGUGUCUACAGUAGCUGACUGUAUAUCUGGAAGGGAAUAUCUCCUAAACGGCUUUUAACCCCUUUUAUGCCUGGGGGUGCCGUUACAGUGACAUUUAGGAUUACCUAUUACAGGGAUCACUGCUGAUUUACUUGAGGGCAUAGGUUUGUGCAGUUGAGUAAGUUUGACAUUUUUAGAGGUGUGCAUAAUUUUUCUUCAUUAUCAACCCAACAGUAUGUGUUGGGUGGAGAAUUAAAUUUCAAAGCUUGAGUAAGUUGUGUAGCUCUGUAGAAUUGUACAGAAUCAGGAACACCCAAGUGCCCUGAGUUUCUUUGGUGGAGAAUCAAAUCAGUGGACAGUCUGGCUCUUUUACCUACCCAUAGGAAUUUUAGCAUACGACAUCUUGGGUAGAAGAGAUCGCUGAUUAAUUUUAAUUAAUUUAGCUUUAGGUAGAAUAUGUUUGGACGUAUCAUUAUUUUUAGAGAAUAAACACACAAGAUAAAUAUUAUAAGGAGUCCAUUUCUUCAUAAGAGAAUAUGCUUAAUAUUACUUUGUUGAUGUCACUUGGUCUUUGUGGAAUAGUUUAAGAUUAACUUUACAAACCACGCUGUUUGAUCAACAUAUGUUUAAAUUGUAAAAUAAUCUAUAUUAAAGUGGAUAUAUAACUUUUCAGUAUUUCAUAAAAAUACAGCCAACACCAUAUGUGUUUUGGGGAAAUAUGCAAAGAUAUUAACAUAUCCACUUUGAGUACUAGGCUGUUAGUAACUUUGGGUAAAGCACAGUUCAUACAUCUAGCCCUCGGAUAAAAGGACAGGAUGCAUGUAUUAGUGGCAUCAAUCCAUUUUGUUCAUUAAUAUGGAAUGGCUAGCUUUACAAUAGAAUGCUGUACAGUGCCUUUCCCAACAUUUUCAUGUAUUUUAUUGUCUUUUGCUACCAUAUUCCCAACAACUAACCCCCUUAGAUGUUUCCACAUAUUCCAAUGUUGCAACCUUGAAUUAAAAUUCAUUUUUUUCAGAAUUUAGAAAAAAAAAGAAAGAAAAAAGAAAACCAAAUGUGAAGGUUAGCUCUUUUGGGGGUGGCGGUUCAAAUGAUCCUAUGUUUUGUAUCUGUUAUUAAAUCAAAUAUUUUCUAGCAGUAUUUUGUUUUGUAUUUUUCCAAAACAAUUAGAUAUUUUUUGGAAUACGACAAAUGUCUCUGAGCAUGGUUGUUUUCGCUUUUGUCAAGAUUAGAUUAGUAGUUAUUACAAAGAGUUCACUCACUUCCACCACGGACUUUGCAAUAUAAUAAAUUCGUAAGAGAUACAGCCAAGGUAAAUACGAAGUAAGAGAACUCAGACAAAAUACAUGCGAAGUAAAAGAACUCAGACAAAAUAUAUGCUUAGUAAAAAUUGUAUUUAUUGAAGAAAGAAAUGUGAGCAUUUUAUGCUUCAUGUUUUAUGCUUAAUAAUACUUUUAAAACUCAAAAAGAAAAAUAUGAAGAAGUAUAUAAGUGUAAGUGCAUUCUGUAAACUCUACUUAAGUGUUGCAAGCUUCUUUUGAAAAAUUCCCUUGGCCUUUCAUUUGAAUGAGUAUAGAAUAAUUUAAGAAUAGGUCAGCAACUUAAAAAAAAUAGAUCUAGAAGUCAAAACUGUUUCUAAAGUCAAAGAAUAUUUAUUUUAGUCAUCAGUACUAAUUUAUAACCAUGUUGAGAACAUAAGAAUAAGGGGAACUGAAAUUUUGAAAUAAGUUAUUUAGAUGCAAUAUCCACAACUAUUUCAAUCAUAAAAAAUUCUUCAUUUCAUAUCACAAUCAAUUUUUAUAAAAAUAAGGAAGUUAAAUAAUUUAUACGGUUGGCAUAGCCACAGGGUUUGCUAAAAAUUGAUAGGUUUGAACAGUUUGCCAGCUACUGUCCCCCACCAUUGUGAGCACCCACCACAGUUAGAGAGGAUAGAGCCCUCAGCACCCAGCUACAUGGCAUAAUCGUGAUUUUAUUCAGCAAUUAAAAAAUGUGGCAAUGUUUUGACACAAAGUCCUUGAUUGAAUUAGCUUUCCAAAUGGUGUAACCACAGAAGUUGCCUUUAUAUUCUGUGGACAUUUUUGUAGAUAUGUUUUUCCAACAUAAUUUAAUCAUUUGGAAAGAUUAUUAAAUCGAGGCCAAAGUGUCUUGACACUUUGUGUCGAAACGUUGCAACACCUUGUUUGACAGUUGAAUACAAUCACCAUUAUACCACUACUGUGUGCUGAUGCUGAUUCACCCUGCAUUCCUGCAGAGGAGGAGAAAUUGAAAACAUAAAACAAUAUUUGUUUUUCUCCUUGUCUUUUUACUUUUGCUAUGUAAUCAGAAUAUAGUAUGUGCGCUUCAAAGCUAUCAAUAUAUAAAAGAAGACAAGAAAUCUGUUCCUAUAUAAAAAGUAUGUAUACCUUUAAUAAAACAUGAAAUCAAAUAAAAAUUAAGAACAGAUGUUUCCUUUUUAACCCCUUAUCAAAAUAAAUCUACCUCUAUAGGGAGUCAAAAGCUCAUGAUUCAAUCAGUUGUCAAUAAAGAUCCUAAUAUAUGUAGACCAUAAAUGACAAACAUCUCAGGUAGGGGAAAAACACAACCAUGAUAUUUAAAGGUGACAACGUGCAAUGACCUACGAUGAGAUGUCUAAGAUAUUUCACAACCAAAGGGGUAGAGUGGCUGAAUGUAGCAAAAAGGUUGUUAAAAAAUAGUGCAUCAGCAAAAAAGUCCCUUUAAAAAUACCUGAGAGGAUAUAUCAUAAAUGUGACCAUUAAUAAAAAAUUUUUUUCCUUUCCUUUAGACUUAUGACCUUAUGGCCAUUUUAACCAGAAAAUUGAUGUUCACCUAGUUUGGUAGCGAACUAAAACAAAUAACUAGUACAUUAAACAAUCAAAAUUGUGAUAACACGCUAUCAAACAUGCCUUAGACAUAAAACAUGAAGCAGCAGCAGGUGGCACACAAGAUCAUACAUGCUUCAAAAUGAAAAUAUAGAAAAAGAGAUAAAAAAAAAUAUAGAAAAUGAUAAAUGGAUUAUAAAAUCCUAAUAUGAUACUGAGUACCUCUACCUCCAGAGCAGACAGAGGCUGGCUGAAAGAAAAUAAAAAAUAUUUAUGUGAGGUGCAACUGCACAAAAGGACCGGAAAAUGGAAAGAUAAAAACAAAACUACAACUUCAGGAAAAUUGAGCACCAGUCAAAAAAUGAAACUUUGAUCUGAUACAAUUCCUGGUUGAGUCCUUAGGGGCCAAAGAGUUGAGCUUAAAUAUCCAUUUGGAUUCAGCCCUUGUUAGAUCGUUUUUCCUCUUUGCCAGAUCUCUUUUGGCCGGAAUUAGGUCAAUUCCCAUUACUAUAAUGGACGAGGGAUCACUGUUGUGAGAUAUUUCGAAGUGACAAGCAACUGGAGAUCGCCUAUCUUUAUGCAGAAUGGAUAAUCUAUGCUCUCUGAAUCUGCAUUUGAGCGGUCUGAUGGUUUGCCCCACAUACUGUAGCCCACACAUGCACAUCAGCAGAUAUACAGCAAACGUAGAGUUACAGUUAAUUCUAUAGGGGACCGUUAAGAUCUCCUCAUUAUACCUUUUAUAUACUUUUCUAUGCUGAUUGCCAAGUGCAAAUAACAGAGCUUUUUAACAAUGAUUGACAGGCAACUAAGAUGGUGGCUCCCAGGUCCUGAUUAAAGCAGUGUGGAGUUCUACAAUGUUUAAUGUUAUUUUUCACACCUUGCAGAUACAUAUUUCUUAAAAGUAGGGAAUAAAUAAACAUAAUAUAAAAAAUGCUGGGAAUUUAGAGAAGUUACAUUUUACCUCUAAGAGAUUUCUGAAAGUAGCUUGGAUCUCAUGACAUUUCUAAAGACAUGAUGACAUAACUAAUGCUGUAUGUAUAAUGUGUGUUAUAUAGUUUAAAGUAUAAAAAAAUGGCCUAUUUCCCAAAGUUGAGCAAAAUCAGAAAGUGUCUAAGUAUGACUAUAACUAACUUGUGCCUAGCUUUUCAGCUAAAUCUAAAUUUGAAUUGUUACUUGGAGUUUGUUACUUUAGUACCUUUGACUUCAAACAUCAGACAAUGAACGUUCAGUUGAUUGCUUCAUUAUAUGACUGAACCCCAAGUAAUUGUCACUGAAAUGCUGAUUGAUAAAUUGUUUUAUUUUGUUAAUGAUUUAUCGCUAUAACAGCUGAUUAAAAUCAUGCAAUAGCCUAUAAAACAAGGAAUGUUGUCCAGGUUUGUGUUUAAUGAUUAAUAUAUAUUUUACAUGUUUUAGGUACUACACAGAAUAAUUUAUACCUUUUAUCGG